Molecule: long non-coding RNA, 47984 nt
Filed under: Triticum aestivum (bread wheat)
Lineage: Eukaryota; Viridiplantae; Streptophyta; Magnoliopsida; Poales; Poaceae
Description: long non-coding RNA (TAES_LNC026678)
Source: RNAcentral
UUUUUAACACCUCAUAUAUAGAUCACUUAAUAACACCAUGUACAAAACUCAAGGUGUAACGUUGAAUUAUGUUCUAUAAAGAUUUAUUGCGAAUAGUCAUUCUAAUACACCCCAUGAUAUGGCAUUGUUAUUAUUUUUAGCAAACCUACACUGAUAUUUGCUUAGCUAGUUAACAUCACAUUUUCCUUUAUUGGAGCCUUGGAGUAGUCUAUGCACAUUGUACACCUGCACAAUUUGCCAACAAUAUGAGCCUCCAAAUUGCAUUCCUUGUUCUCAGGGCACGUAAGGAUUCGGUGGCAAUCUUCCUGACAACCACCAAACUUCUUCAGGUAUUUAAACGUACACCUUCGGUUUGUAUCCGCAUGUGCAAAAUAUUACCAACAAGAAGAAAUCCAAAUCAUGAAAAGAACAAUUUUGUUAAUUGGGUUGAUGCAACACUCUUGGAGGAACCGAUUAAACGUACUUGAUGCUAGCACGAGAAAGGCGAGUGUCAGGAGUAGCGUCAAAGCUGCAAUCUUCAUCCUAACUUGUAUGUGGCGUUGGUAGGAAAGUGACUGCUUGUGAGCCUUGAGGAAGAGAAAAUGAUAUGGCAACCAUUUUUAUAGUAGGUUUGAUAUUAAUGCUCAUUAUUGUAAUAAAAAAAUAGCAUGAAAAGAAAGAUUGGAUAAGUUAUGUCGUAUUAAAAGCAAUUAAGUGGACUUUAGGAUAAGAUAUGUACAGACGCUUUGUAGUAGAGCAAGGAAACAAAAUUAAGAGAUUGCACAUUUGAGCAGAGGUUUUCACAUGAAAAAGAUAGAUAAAAGAAAAACAACUAUAUGUACAGUUACUGAGCUCCCUUGAAAUAAGGUCUCCUAGUGAAUCCAGGGUGUGAAAAGUGCAUGGGCCCUGGGUGACAGUGGGUGAGGCGUGUUGGUGGGCAGCUCGGUCCCUUGCAUGUCCAGUUUUCUUGUGUACAUGCGCAGUUCGCUUGCUGGUCCCUUGCAUGUUGGUUCAUCUAGCAAAGAAAGAAAAAGGCCGUUACACACCCAGCUAAUAAAAGAAUCUCAAUGAGCAAAACUGAUUGAACAAAGAAAAUGUUAGGAAUAAAUUAGGAUGUGUCUAUUAUAUUAAUAACUAAAAUGUAUUAAUUAACGAAUCAUCAUUCUUGUGACCAAUCCAAAGUAGUGAUGUCCCUUUUUCUUUUAACAUUUAUAACUGCCAUCUCUUGGAGGCAGCUUCUCCCUAUGUAUAGAUACCUUUUCUAUCAAUGGAAUUAGAGAGGGUAGCUCUCUCUCUCCCUCCCCUCACUAUCUUACUUGCAUUUUUCAGAUAUAUGAUCUUUUACUUUUAUUCAAAUUUACCUCCAUGCUCAAACUUCCCGAAAUGUCACUCAUCCUCACACUACUCCAGCCCAAGCACGCUUAACUUCAGAGUUCUAUCCAACUCCAGCACCAGCUCACUUCACAGGCACUUGUUGAUAUAUCUAGCAUAUCAAUCCUAUUAAACCUUGUUGAUGUUUAGGACUUUGUUCAUGUUCAUGAGUGUGAUGAAAUUUUGAAAUAUUAUUGAAAACUUCCGUUCAUAUUACGUAUCAUAUUUUGAAAAAAAAUCCCGAAAAACAUUCGAAACUAAUUUUUUUUCUGUUACUAGUGGCGCACCUAGCAAACGGUGCACCACUAGUAAGUUUGAUAUUUUUUGAAAUUUUUUGCCUCUAGAUCUUGAAAGCCCUAUAACUUUUUUUCUGUUAGGUUUUUGAGGAUUUUGAAAAUGUUUAACGGGGUUCCCCCGUUAAGAUCGGAUGUAUUUUUAACGGGGUUCCCCCCGUUAAGAUCGGAAUGCUAAUAUAUUCAAAAAGGAAGGUGGUAUUUUUAACACCUCAUAUAUAGAUCACUUAAUAACACCAUGUACAAAACUCAAGGUGUAACGUUGAAUUAUGUUCUAUAAAGAUUUAUUGUGAAUAGUCAUGCUAAUACACCCCAUGAUAUGGCAUUGUUAUUAUUUUUAGCAAACCUACACUGAUAUUUGCUUAGCUAGUUAACAUCACAGUUUCCUUUAUUGGAGCCUUGGAGUAGUCUAUGCACAUUGUACACCUGCACAAUUUGCCAACAAUAUGAGCCUCCAAAUUGCAUUCCUUGUUCUCAGGGCACGUUAGGAUUCGGUGGCAAUCUUCCUAACAACCACCAAACUUCUUCAGGUAUUUAAACGUACACCUUCGGUUUGUAUCCGCAUCUGCAAAAUAUUACCAACAAGAAGAAAUCCAAAUCAUGAAAAGAACAUUUUUGUUAAUUGGGUUGAUGCAACACUCUUGGAGGAACCAAUUAAACGUACUUGAUGCUAGCACGAGAAAGGCGAGUGUCAGGAGUAGUGUCAAAGCUGCAAUCUUCAUCCUAACUUGUAUGUGGCGUUGGUAGGAAAGUGACUGCUUGUGAGCCUUGAGGAAGAGAAAAUGAUAUGGCAACCAUUUUUAAAGUAGGUUUGAUAUUAAUGCUCAUUAUUGUAAUACAAAAAUAGCAUGAAAAGAAAGAUUGGAUAAGUUAUGUCGUAUUAAAAGCAAUUAAGUGGACUUCAGGAUAAGAUAUGUACAGACGCUUUGUAGUAGAGCAAGGAAACGAAAUUAAGAGAUUGCACAUUUGAGCAGACGUUUUCACAUGAAAAAGAUAGAUAAAAGAAAUACAUCUAUCUAUACAGUUACUAAGCUCCCUUGAAAUAAGGUCUCCUAGUGAAUCGAGGGUGUGAAAAGUGCAUGGGUCCUGGGUGAUGUUACGUCUCCAACGUAUCUAUAAUUUUUGAUUGGUCCAUGCUACUUUAUCUACUGUUUUGGACUAUAUUGGGCUUUAUUUUCCACUUUUAUAUUAUUUUUGGGACUAACCUAUUAACCGGAGGCCCAGCCUAGAAUUGCUGUUUUUUGCCUAUUUCAGUGUUUCAAAGAAACAGAAUAUCAAACGAAGUCCAAACGGAAUGAAACCUUCGGGAACCUGAUUUGCUCAUCGAACGUGAUCCAGGAGACUUGGACCCUGCUCCAAGGAACAAAAGAGGCGGUCAUGAGGGUGGAGGGCGCCUCCCCCCUGGGCGCGCCCCCUGUAUCUUGGGCCCCCUGUUGCUCCACCGACGUACUCCUUCCUCCUAUAUAUACCUUCGUACCCCCGUCAGAUCAAAUACGGAGCCAAAAACCUAAUUCCACCACCGCAACUUUCUGUAUCCGCGAGAUCCCAUCUUGGGGCCUGUUCCGGAGCUCCGCCGGAGGGGGCAUCUACCAUGGAGGGCUUCUACAUCAACACCAUAGCCUCUCCGAUGAAAUGUGAGUUGUUUACCUCAGACCUUCGGGUCCAUUGCUAGUAGCUAGAUGGCUUCUUCUCUCUUUUUGGAUCUCAAUACAAUGUUCUCCGCCUCUCUCGUGGAGAUCUAUUCGAUGCAAUCUUCUUUUUUGCGGUGUGUUUGUUGAGACUGAUGAAUUGUGGGUUUAUGAUCCAACUUAUCUAUGAAUAAUAUUCGAAUCUUCUCUGAAUUCUUUUAUGUAUGAUUGAGUUAUCUUUGCAAGUCUCUUCGAAUUAUCCGUUUGGUUUGGCCAACUAGAUUGGUAGUUCUUGCAAUGGGAGAAGUGUUUUGCUUUGGGUUCAAUCUUGCGGUGUCCUUACCCAGUGACAGAAAGGGUUGCAAGGCACGUAUUGUAUUGUUGCCAUCAAGGAUAACAAUAUGGUUUUUUUAUCGUAUUGCAUGAAUUUAUCCCUCUACAUCAUGUCAUCUUGCUUAAGGCGUUACUCUGUUUUUAACUUAUUACUCUAGAUGCAUGCUGGAUAGCGGUCGAUGAGUGGAGUAAUAGUAGUAGAUGCAGAAUCAUUUCGAUCUACUUGUCUCGGACGUGAUGCCUAUACACAUGAUCAUACCUAGAUAUACUCAUAAUUAUGCUCAAUUCUGUCAAUUGCUCAACAGUAAUUUGUUCACCCGCCCUAGAAUACUUAUGCUCUUGAGAGAGGCCACUAGUGAAACCUAUGGCCCCCGGGUCUAUUCUCAUCAUAUCAAUCUCCAUUACUUUAUUUACUUGCUUUGUUUUUACUUUGCCUUUUACUUUUUACUUUGCAUCUCUAUACCAAAAAUAGCAAAAAUAUUAUUUAUCAUCUCUAUCAGAUCUCACCCUCGGAAGUGACCGUGAAGGGAUUGACAACCCCUAAUCGCAUUGGUUGCGAGUAGCUAUCGUUUUGUGUAGGUACGAGGGACUCGUGCGUCAUCUCCUACUGGAUUGAUUCCUUGGUUCUCAAAAACUGAGGGAAAUACUUACGCUACUUUACUGCAUCAUCCUCUUCUCUUCGGGGAAAUCCAACGCAGUGCUCAAGAGGUAGCAAGAAGAAUUUCUGGCGCCGUUGCCAGGGAGUUUGCGCAAAGUCAACUUUACCAAGUACCCAUCACAAUCCCUAUCUCUCGCAUUACAUUAUUUGCCUCUCGUUUUCCUCUCCCCCACUUCACCCUUGCCGUUUUAUUCGCCCUCUCCUUUUUGUUUGCCUUCUUCCCGUAUGUAUCUUUGUUUGUGUUUCCUUGUGCCUUUUAUAUGCUUGCAUCUUUGUUUGCUAAAAAUCUAUUGAUAUGGAUCCACUUAAAGUGUUCUACUUGGAUCAUCUUCGAUCCUCAUGCGCUCAUGCUGAAACCCCAACUAGCCUAGUUGAUGGGAAAUCUUUAGAUGAGCAUGCUCAUUUUGUGCGUCAUCGUUUAUCUGAAAAAGGGAGACUCUUACGGUAUCAUAUAAAUAGUUUGCUAUGCUAUGCUUGGAAUCUUUGUGAAAUGUGUGAUUUUACUUGUUGCUCUAAGAACCCUAAAAAACACCUUCCCUACCUAUGUGAGUUCAAUGAUAAUGAAAUCUUAUCUUCUUAUGCAAAGGGUGUUUAUAGUUACUAUGAUAUCGAACAAAUUGAAGAAUUUGUCGUUUUAAGGGUGCUCAUGAAGUUGCUUCUUUGAUUGAAAAGUAUGAUUUUACUCCCAACAAAUCUGAAAAUUCCGUCAUACUUAAAUAUUGCAAUGAAAACCUUGCUUAUAAUGUCCAAGAAUUUUUUGAAAGAAUGACCGUUGCUUUGGAAGAAAAUAAUGAUAUGCAUGAAUCUAUAGAUAAUGAUGAUUCCAAUGAUUUGAUUUGAAUAUCCCUUGAUGAACAUGAUGCUUUCUAUUCUUGUGGCCAUGAAGCCAAUAUUUAUGAAGACGAAUUUGCUAUAGUUCCUUAUGUUAAAAAUGAGAUCGUUGCUAUUUCACCCAUGCUUGAUAGCUCCCUCAAUGAAAAGCAUGAUUUAAAUUAUUUUACUAUAAAUUCUCUUGAUGUCAAUUGUUCUAAUAAUAUGCAAAACCCUAAUCUUGGGGAUGCUAGUUUUGCUAUGUCUACUACUUGUUGCAAUGAUCAUGAUUGGGGUGAUCCUUCUUAUGAUCUUGAAAAUUUAUUCAAUCCCCAUGAUGAAUAUGAGAUUGAUAACAUUGUUUGCAAUCAUAUUAAAAGUGGUCGUGGAAGAGUGUCAACUUUAGAUCCCACAUAUUUGGAGAAUAUUCAAUCUUAUGAAAUUUUUGAUAAAAGUGGGUUUGGAGAGGUCAUGACUUUAGUUAAUGUUAAUCCCACUAUUUUGGAAGAGUGUCAACUUUGCAUGCAUGUGGAUCGUGUUGAGCAUAUGUUUUGUGAUAGCUAUAUUGUUGAAGUUGCUUAUGAUUCAACAUGUAAUUAUUAUGAGAGAGGAAAAUAUGGUUGUAGAAAUUUUCGUGUUGCUAAAUUACCUCUCGUCAUGUUGAGAUGGCUAUCGUCUCUUUCUUCUUCCUUGCAUAUGCUAGUUUUUGCUUGCCUUGCAAAUUUGUUUGAUUAUAAUAUGCCUAUGCAUAGGAAGUAUGUUAGACUUAGAUGUGUUUUUCACGUGUUUCAUGAUGCUCUCUUUGUGCUUCAAUUCUUGUCUUUCAUGUGAGCAUCAUUAAAAUAAUCAAUGCCUAGCUAGGGGCGUUAAACGAUAGCGCUUGUUGGGAGGCAACCCAAUUUUAUUUUUUGUUUUUUGUUUUUGUUCCUAUUUAGCGUUAAAUUUUGUUUCUACCCUCUGUUUGGAUGUGGUUUUAUGUUUUAAUUAGUGUUUGUGCCAAGUAGAACCUAUAGGAUAAGCUAUGAUCAUAGUUGAUUUGAUUCUGCUGAAUAACAGAAACUUUGCGCUCACGAGAAAAAUUCAGUAAAUCACAGAAACGUGAUUUUGCAUUGAUUCUUUUUGCUGCUGAUCAAUAAACAAAUUGUCCAGUACGUCAUAUUUUGGUAGAAUUUGUAGAGUCCCAGAAGUUUGCUUUAGUUACAGAUUGCUACAGACUGUUCUGUUUUUGACAGAUUCUGUUUUUCGUGUGUUGUUUGCUUAUUUCAAUGCAUCUAUGACUAAUAAAUUAGUUUAUAAACCAUAAGGAAGGUGGAAUACAGUAAUAACACCAAUAUAAAUAAAGAAUGGGUUUAUUGCAGUACCUUAAAGUAGUCUUUUGUUUUCUUUCACUAACGGAGCUCUCGAGAUUUUUAUUGAGUUUUGUGUUAUGAAGUUUUCAAGUUUUGGGUGAAUUCUUUUGAUGGAUUAUGGAACAAAGAGUGGCAAGAGCCUAAGCUUGGGGAUGCCCAUGGCACCCCCAAGAUAAUCCAAGGACACCAAAAGGUCAAAGCUUGGGGAUGCCCCGGAAGGCAUCCCCUCUUUCGUCUACUUCCAUCGGUAAUUUACUUGGAGCUAUAUUUUUAUUCACCACGUGUUAUGUGUUUUGCUUGGAGCGUCUUGUACUAUUUGCGUCUUUGCUUGUUAGUUUACCACAAUCUUCCUUGCUGUACACACCUUUUGAGAGAGCCAUACACCAAUUGGAAUUUGCUAGAAUACUCUAUGUGCUUCACUUAUAUCUUUUGAGCUUGAUAGUUUUGCUCAUAGUGCUUCACUUAUAUCUUUUGAGCGUGAUAAUUUUUGCUCUAGUACUUCACUUAUAUCUUUUAGAGCACGGUGGUGGAUUUGUUUUAAAGAAACUAUUGAUCUCUCAUGCUUCAUUUAGAUUAUUUUGAGAGUCAUUAAUAGCAUGGUAAUUUGCUUAAUGUUAAUAUACUUGCUAUUCAAGAUAUGUGAAACUUUCUUUUGAGUGAAUUGAAUACUAAGAUAAGUUUGAUGCUUGAUAAUUGUUUUGUGAUUUGGAGGUGAUAAUAUCAAAGUCGUGCUAGUUGGGUGAUUAUGAAUUCAAAGAAUGCUUGUGUUGAAGUUUGCAAGUCCCGUAGCAUGCACGUAUGGAUAAAGUUGUGUAACAAUUUGAAACAUGAAGUGUACCUGGCUUGUGCAUCCUUAUGAGUGGCGGUCGGGGACGAGCGAUGGUCUUUUACUACCAAUCUAUCCCCCUAGGAGCAUGCGUGUAGUACUUGAUUUUUGACGACUUCUAAAUUUUUGCAAUAAGUAUAUGAGUUCUUUUGACUAAUGUUGAGUCCAUGGAUUAUACACACUCUCACCUUUCCGCCUUUGCUAGCCUCUUCGGUACCGUGCAUUGCCCUUUCUCGCCUUGAGAGUUCGUGCAAACUUCGCCGGUGCAUCAAAACCCCGUGAUACGAUACGCUCUAUCACACAUAGACCUCCUUAUAUCUUCCCCAAAACAGCCACCAUACCUACCUAUCAUGGCAUUUCCAUAGCCAUUCCGAGAUAUAUUGCCAUGCAACUUCCAUCAUCAUCAUCAUGACAUACAUUACUUUUGUCAUAUUGCCAUUGCAUGAUCAUGUAGUUGACAUCGUAUUUGUGGCAAAGCCACCAUGCAUUAUUUUUCAUACAUGUCACUCUUGAUUCAUUGCACCAUCCCGGUACACCGCCGGAGGCAUUCAUAUAGAGUCAUAUCUUGUUCUAAGUUUCGAGUUGUAAUCCUUAUGUUGUAAUCAAUAGAAGUGUGAUGAUCAUCAUUAUUAGAGCAUUGCCCAAACAAAAAAAAGAAAGAGAGGCAAAAAAAAUAGAAAAAAAAGUCCAAUGCUACUAUCUCUUUUUCCACACUUGUGCUUCAAACCAGCACCUUGUUCCUCAUGUAGUGAGUCUCAUAUAUUGUGCUUUAAAGUAGCACCUUGUUCUUCAUGUAGUGAGUCUCAUAAAGUUGUCCUUUUCAUACUAGUGGGAUUUUUUCAUUAUAUAACUUGGCUUGUAUAUUCCUACGAUGGGCUUCCUCAAAUGCCCUAGGUCUUCAUGAGCAAGCGAGUUGGAUGCACACCCACUAGUUUUCUUUUGUUGAGCAUUCAUAGCUCUAGUGCAUCCGUUGCAUGGCAAUCCCUACUCCUCAUGUUGACAUCAAUUGAUGGGAAUCUCCAUAGCCCGUUGAUUAGCCUCGUCAAUGUUAGACUUUCUCCUUUUUUGUCUUCUCCACACAAUCCCCAUCAUCAUAUUCUAUUCCACCCAUAGUGAUAUAUCCAUGGCUCGCGCUCAUGUAUUUCUUAAAGGUUGAAAAAGUUUGAGAUUAUUUGAGUAUGAAACAAUUGCUUGGCUUUUCAUCGGGGGUAUAGAAGUUGGGAACAUCUUUGUGUGACGAAAAUGAAGCAUAGCCUAACUAUUUGAUUUUGUAGGGAUGAACUUUCUUUUGCCAUGCUAUUUUGAGAAGACCUGAUUGCUUUGAUUAGUAUAUGCUUGAAGUAUUAUUAUUUUUGUGUCAAUAUGAACUUUUGUCUUGAAUCUUUCGGAUCUGAAUAUUCAUAUCACAAUUAAGAAGAUUUACGUUGAAAUUAUGUCAAAGUAUCACUCCGCAUAUAAAAAUUCUUUUUUUAUCAUUUACCUACUCGAGGACGAGUAGGAAUUAAGGUUGGGGAUGCCUGAUACGUCUCCAACGUAGCUAUAAUUUUUGAUUGCUCCACGCUACUUUAUCUACUGUUUUGGACUAUAUUGGGCUUUAUUUUCCACUUUUAUAUUAUUUUUGGGACUAACCUAUUAACCAGAGGCCCAGCCCAGAAUUGUUGUUUUUUGCCUAUUUCAGUGUUUCGAAGAAACAAAAUAUCAAACGGAGUCAAAAUGGAAUGAAACCUUUGGGAACGUGAUUUUCCAACCGAACGUGAUCCAGGAGACUUGGACCCUGCUCCAAGGAACGAAAGAGGCGGUCACGAGGGUGGAGGGCACUCCCCCUGGGCGCGCCCCCCUGCCUCGUGUUGCUCGACCGACGUACUCCUUCCUCCUAUAUAUACCUACGUACCCCCGUCAGAUCAAAUACGGAGCCAAAAACCUAAUUCCACCACCGCAACUUUCUGUAUCUGCGAGAUCCCAUCUUGGAGCCUAUUCCGGAGCUCCGCCGGAGGGGGCAUCUACUACGGAGGGCUUCUACAUCAACACCAUAGCCUCUCCGAUGAAGUGUGAGUAGUUUACCUCAGACCUUCUGGUCCAUAGCUAGUAGCUAGAUGGCUUCUUCUCUCUUUUUGGAUCUCAAUACAAUGUUCUCCCCCUCUCUCGUGGAGAUCUAUUCGAUGUAAUCUUCCUUUUUGCGGUGUGUUUGUUGAGACUGAUGAAUUGUGGGUUUACGAUCCAACUUAUCUAUGAAUAAUAUUUGAAUCUUCUGUGAAUUCUUUUAUGUAUGAUUGAGUUAUCUUUGCAAGUUCCUUCGAAUUAUCCGUUUGGUUUGGCCAACUAGAUUGGUAGUUCUUGCAAUGGGAGAAGUGUUUAGCUUUGGGUUCAAUCUUGCGGUGUCCUUACCAAGUGAAAGAAAGGGUUGCAAGGCACGUAUUGUAUUGUUGCCAUCGAGGAUAACAAGAUGGGGUUUUUAUCAUAUUGCAUGAAUUUAUCCCUCUACAUCAUGUCAUCUUGCUUAAGGCGUUACUCUGUUUUUAACUUAAUACUCUAGAUGCAUGAUGGAUAGCGGUCGAUGAGUGGAGUAAUAGUAGUAGAUGCAGAAUCGUUUCGAUCUACUUGUCUCGGACGUGAUGCCUAUACACAUGAUCAUACCUAGAUAUAAACAUAAUUAUGCUCAAUUCUGUUAACUGCUCAACAGUAAUUUGUUCACCCGCCGUAGAAUACUUAUGCUCUUGAGAGAAGCCACUAGUGAAACCUAUGGCCCCCGGGUCUAUUCUCAUCAUAUCAAUCUCCAUUACUUUAUUUACUUGCUUCGUUUUUACUUUGCCUUCUACUUUUUACUUUGCAUCUCUAUAUCAAAAAUACCAAAAAUAUUAUUUAUCAUCUCUAUCAGACCUCACCCUCGUAAGUGACCGUGAAGGGAUUGACAACCCCUAGUCGUGUUGGUUGCGAGUAGCUAUCGUUUUGUGUAGGUACGAGGGACUCGUGCGUCAUCUCCUACUGGAUUGAUACCUUGGUUCUCAAAAACUGAGGGAAAUACUUACGCUACUUUACUGCAUCAUCCUCUCCUCUUCGGGGAAAUCCAACGCAGUGCUCAAGAGGUAGCAGGUGACAGUGUGGGCAGCUCGGGGAAAUCCAACGCGUGUUGGUGGGCAGCUCGGUCCCUUGAGUGUCCAGUUUUCUUGUGUACAUGCACAGCUCGCUUGCUGGUCCGUUGCAUGUUGGUUCAUCUAGCAAAGAAAGAAAAAGGCCGUUACCACACCCAGCUAAUAAAAGAAUCUCAAUGAGCAAAACUGAUUGAACAAAGAAAAUGUUAGGAACAAAUUAGGAUGUGUCUAUUAUAUUAAUAACUAAAAUGUAUUAAUUAACGAAUCAUCAUUCUUGUGACCAAUCCAAAGUAGUGAUGUCCCUUUUUCUUUUAACAUUUAUAUCUGCCAUCUCUUGGAGGCAGCUUCUCCCUAUGUAUAGAUACCUUUUCUAUCAAUGGAAUUAGAGAGGGUGGCUCUCUCUCUCCCUCCCCUCACUAUCUUACUUGCAUUUUUCAGAUAUAUGUUCUUUUACUUUUAUUCAAAUUUACCUCCGUGAUCAAACUUCCGGAAAGGUCACCCAUCCUCACCCUACUGCAGCCCAAGCACGCUUAACUUUAGAGUUCCAUCCAACCCCAGCACUAGCUUACUUCACAGGCACUUGUUGAUAUAUCUAGCAUAUCAAUUCUAUUAAACCUUGUUGAUGUUUAGGACUUUGUUCAUGUUCAUGAGUGUGAUAAAAAAUUUAAAAAUUAUUUCAAACUUCCGUUCAUAUUACGUAUCAUAUUUUGAAAAAAAAAUCCCCGAAAAAAAUUUGAAACUAUUUUUUUUCUGUUAUAAGUGGGGCACCUAGCAAACGGUGCGCCACUAGUAAGGUUGAAAUUUUUUGAUUUUUUUUGCCUCUAGAUCUUGAAAGCCCCGUAACUUUUUUUCUGUUAGGUUUUUGAGGAUUUUGGAAAUGUUUAACGGGGUUCCCCCUGUUAAGAUCGGAUUGGUAAUAUAUUCAAAAAGGAAGGUGGUAUUGUUAACGCCUCAUAUAUAGACCACUUAAUAACACGAUGUACAAAACUCAAGGUGUAACGUUGAAUUAUGUUCUAUAAAGAUUAAUUGCGGAUAGUCAUUGUCGGUGUCAAAACCGGCGGAUCUCGGGUAGGGGGUCCCGAACUGUGCGUCUAGGCGGAUGGUAACAGGAGACAAGGGACACGAUGUUUUUACCCAGGUUCGGGCCCUCUCGAUGGAGGUAAAACCCUACUCCUAUCUGGACACGGGACGAAGUCUUCAAUCUUGUAUCUUCAUAGUCCGGGAGUCCGGCCAAAGGUCAUAGUCUGUCCAUCCGGACACCCCCUAAUUCGGGACUCCCUAAGUAGCCCCUGAUCCAGGCUUCAAUGACGACGAGUCCGGCGCGCAAAUUGUCUUCGGCAUUGCAAGACGGGUUCCUCCCCCGAAUACUUCAUAAAAGGUGUUGAACACAAGGAUAGUGUCCGGCUCUGCAAAAUAAGUUCCACAUACCACUGUAGAGAGAAUAAUAUUUACACAAAUCUAAUCUGCUGAGGUAUUCCGUAGCAUGUCAUGCUACGACCAAGCCUUUAUUCGAAUCGUUUUACUGUCCCACCUCAGCGCGUUUAGCGAGGCGGUUUCCUUGGCACGUCUUGUCAAAGCAGAGAUCGUGUCCCCUUAUUGCGGGAUUCUCAUCAAUACGGGCGUGGGUAACCCAACCGCGCCAUUAAUCGCGGCGCUUGGGAGAUAAGCGAGUUUUACCAGGCUGGCGGGGGCACAUAGUUUCGGCCGCCCAUAUAAGGGGAUAAGGAUCCACCCUUUCAAUCUACGCCUUCUUCCUCCUUUGCUUAUCCAUUCCCGCGCACUCGAGCUCCAGCGCACAAUUCGGAAUUCCCACCUCAACCUUCUCCAAUCAUGUCCGGAGCGGGAGGUAGAUGGAUGGCCUCCACCGUCACGGAGGGGCACAUCAAAAAGUUGAGGAAGGCCGGAUACUUGUCUAACGACAUCGCGCACCGGCUCCCAGAUGAGGGGCAACUCAUCCCCACUCAUAGGCCCCAUGAGAGGGUGGUGUUUCUCACCCAUUUCCUCCACGGACUGGGCUUCCCACUUCACCCAUUUGUCCGGGGGCUCAUGUUCUACUACGGCCUGGAUUUCUAAGAUCUGGCACCGAACUUCAUCCUCAACAUCUCGACGUUCAUCGUUGUGUGCGAGGCCUUCCUCUGCAUCAAGCCUCACUUCGGCCUAUGGCUGAAUAUCUUCAGCGUCAGGCCAAAGGUCGUGGGCGGCCGGCAAGCGGAGUGCGGAGGCGCCAUGGCGGGUAAGAUGCCCAACGUCACAUGGCUCGAGGGCUCCUUCGUGGAACCAUCAAAGGGUGGCAAUCGGGGUGGUUCUACAUCACCGAGCCACGUGACCCUGAACGGGCAGCGGCCCCCAAAUUCCAAUCUGGCAUCCCCACACGGCUCACAUCCUGGAAAGAGACGGGCCUGUUGUGGGGUAAUCCGGAAGAGGUGACCGGACUCCAAACCUGCGUCCAAGACCUGGUGAACAAGAAGGUUAAACUUGUCAACGUAGUCCAGGUCAUGCUCUUCCGCCGGAUCCUCCCGUGUCAACGACGGGCUUUCAACUUGUGGGAGUUCGACCCAGCCCAGCACCAGACUUUGUCCAGGCUCUUCGACACAAAGCACGAGGAUGCCUGGAAGGUGCUAUUCAAGAGCUCCGAGGUCUCCCCUCCCGUCACCGAGGAUCACGGAUUCUGCGCAAAGCGCCAAGCCACCGAAGUAAGCUUGUUUUUGUCCUUUAUAGGACACUUUAUUUUCAUAAUUUGACUCUAUGCAGGAUCUAAACUCCCGCCCCUUUGGCAGGACUGGAAGAGGACGUCCGAACAGUUUGACUGUCUGACCCCUUUGCCCAAAGGCCCAGCAGAUGCAUGCUUGUUGAAGCUGCUGGUCCCGGCAGCUCACGUGGUGCCGGAGAAUAUGGCCAAGAAGAAGGCCACGGGGACUCGAAAGAGUUCCCAGCGCCUGGUGGAGUCGGAUUCAUCGCCCGACGACCCCGAAGCGCACUCCGCCUCUAAAGACGACGAGGAGGAAGAAGAAGCCUCUCCCCCUCCAGCGGGGGGAGGAAAGAAAAGGAAGGCCGCCCCAACUGGGGAGGCCGGAGGGUUCAAGAAGGGGAAGACCCUUCCGGACUAUGCCUCCGACGCCGAUGAUGGUGGAGAGAAUGGCCAUCCAGGGCCAAGCCCCUGGAAAAAUCGUAAGUAUCCGGAUACCAGAAUAACUCAUGGCGUUCCUCUAUUGUACAGUACCUUCUGACGCUGAAUUCAAUCAUGCAGUCCGCCCAAGUCUCAGCUCGGCGAUUUGUCGAGCGGCUCCCUGGAUUCGUCGGAUGUGAAUAGUGCUUAACUCCCGACUGCUACCUCCCCUCGCCCUACGGACGAUGCCGAGAUGGAGUCCUAAAAGGGGCUAAACCAAGAGGAGGUGGUCCUGGAGGUGCCUGAAGGCGACCUCCCGGACUCCAGGCCCAAAGGGGAUGAAUUCCCAGAGGGAUCUAAGUCCGGCCCUGGGCCGGACACAGCUCCGGAACCUUCAGUGAUUCCGGAGUCCGGCAGGCGGCCCCCUCGCAAGAAGAGCAAGCCUACGAUGACGGCGGCCUCCGUCCAACCGGAGGCACCGGACAAUUUGCUGGAGAUGCUUAACGGCGCCUCCAUCGACGAGGAGCACCGCACAGUUAUGAGUGCGGUGAUCCAGAAGGUUCAGUCCGCCAAGAGCGGGCUAACAGAAGCCUGUACCAGCCUUCUAACAGGUUUUGAGGUAUGUAUUUAAAACAUGUAAAAAUGUUACCGCAUAAAUAGUAGCCCCUGAUGCUCAGUUUGGUGUUUGGCAAGAAAAGCCGAACUAAGGAUCUAAAAAGAUAUACGCAGGAGUCUAACAUAAAUCUGUCAAUAUGGGCAUGCAGGCUGCGCUGCUGACCUCUGCCGCACUGACUGCGGAUGUCGAUGCAUUGAAGCAGAGCCUCGAGCGGUCCGAGAAUGACCUCGGCCGUGCCAAGAAGCAGCUCGAGGACAAGGAAGGUAUGUAGUAUCUUAUGUAAGUAUAUAUAAAAAUACCUGGUUGCAAAUAAUGACAGGACGAACAUGAAUGCUACAGGGGCCACAACCCAGGUGGCGACCCAAAAGAAAGCGCUUUCCAAGGCCGAAGACAAUGCGGCCGUGGAGCGCACCGAGCGAGAGAAACAAGAGGCGCAGGUGGCGGAGGUGCGGCAAGAGCUCAAUGCUCUUGUGAAAAAAACAUGAGAGUUUAGAGCUUGACUCGAAGACUCGAGAGUCCGUGCUUGCCUCGGCACUUGAAAGCGCCAAAUCUGCCAAGGCCGAAGCCCAAAAAGCCCUCCAAGAAAUUGAGGCGAUGAAAAGGAUUGCCGCGGGUAAGGCAUUCUUUAGGCAAAGCAAGCACGUGAAAGUAAAUUACCUGUUACUUACCCAAAUCCAGAGCUCUCCAGGAGCAUUCGCAAAUCUGCCCCCGCAGUGUAUCCGAUGCCGCCGCAUUAUACCGGGCCGAGGAAGGGAGCUCGACGGAGAAGGUGUUCUGGUCCCAGUAUGCUGAGGCCGGACACCCGGUGCCCCUGAGCGACCAGCUGAAGCAGCUAGUCGAGCUUCAUAAGGCAGCCGAACAGGCCAUGAAGGGCCUGAUAGGCCGGCUGUGGCCUGGGGAGGCCAUGCCUGGGAGCUACUUUGGGCUGGUGCGGCGGCUGGUGGACGCCUGUCCCCGGCUGGAAGUCAUCAAUCGCUCAGUAUGCAUCGAAGGUGCCCGUAGGGCUUUUGCCCGUGCUAAAGUGCACUGGGGCAAACUGGAUGCUGAGAAGCUGGUGACAGAAGGGCCACCGGAUGGGAAGGAGCAUCGCAGGCCCGAGAUGUAUUAUGAGGGUGUCCUGAAGGGUGCCCGUCUUGUGGCGAAUUAAUGUACCAGGGAUGUAAUUUUUGAGCAAACUCGCUCGUGUUUAUCCUGUGCGCUGAGAACUUGUUCAUAUGCGCUAAGCAAUGCUUUUUGAAUUUAAAAUAUUACCUUCUGUGCGGCCGUUUAUUAAAUCUGAGAGAUGCAAGUCGUCGGCUUCUACCCCCAUGCCACGAGUCCUGGGGUGUUCGGGAUAAACCUGAGCACUCUUGUUCCCAUUCUUGGGUCCUUCGAGGGAGGCGCUCAGCACAACGAACAAGGCAAUCGGACUUAUAAUGCUUUAUCACUCUCACUUAGCCAUAGAAUUCUAUAAUUUUAAAUUUCGACGAAGCCCCUAGUAUUCGGAAGACCGAGUUCGGGGCGCUAUCCACGCCUAGGCCGGACAAAGCCAGCUCCUCGCUCUAAGCGGCAUGAGUCUUUAGGGACUCGAAAAACCUCUCGAAUAGCGACCGGUCUCUCGCCCUAUCAUGACGGUCAGUUUUAGCUUUCUCUAUUGAGGUGUUAACCCAACUCAACUGGGGCACAAUCGCAGUAGUUCUCCUAGCGCUACCUUAGCCGACAUAGCGGAAUGUAAGCUACCAAAACAUGGGAGCCGGGCAAACCCAACUAUUGACCCAAGACAUGAUUCAGAACUGAUGCAUAUAAUGCUAUAAGUUCGGGGUGCCGCAUUCAUGAGAGUGUUCGGUCUUCUCACACCGUAUUCUGGGGUACUUAAGCCCCUGGUGUAUUGGCUGUACCAAAGUGUACGGUUGCAUGAUGUCAUAACUGAACAUAUUUACAUAAAAAAUUAAUGCAAUAAUAGACAAGAGCUAUGUAUUGUUUAUUAAAGGGCUGCUAUGAGAGCAGAAGGAUGAAAAUAGUGCGAUAGGCAAGAGAUGGGAUUAUUUGACAUGUCCCCCUCUAGGGGCAAGCUGCGAGACUUUAAGUAAGACAGGUAUUUAGCUCGUUAUAGAGACCACCUGGACAUUCGACGUGGCUUGUUGUCUCCCUGGCUGUUGCAUCGUGUGUUCAGCGAUUGUACUGCCGAACAGGCCUUCCGAAUAGUGGAGUCCUGAAAGUAUAUAUAAAAAAAGAAAUGGCAAAAUCGGGAGCCCCUAGUGCGGUUGAGCCGCAUUCUGGACGUGCCGUAAUUGUGCCAAUUCCCUUAUGCCCAUGGUAUUUCCAAAGCGUAAUUAUGUACGUGUGGUACUGGUAUCGCAAUCUCGCGAGGGCUGGGGUUGGGGCCGCACUGCUAUGCUUGCUCGGAACGUGCCAGACGGUCUUGUUGUAGGUUACUUCGUGCGCACUUGAUGUUGUCCGGACGUCUAACAGCCGGACUGGAGAAUUGCCUUGAGAGGCCACUUUGUAUUUCCGCCGCCAGGGCCGCCGUGUGCUCCUCUGUUCAGAGAGAGCGUUUGGUGUUUCCAUUGACCGUAAUGACUCCUUGAGGGCCUGGCAUCUUGAGCUUGAGGUAUGCGUAGUGCGGCACCGCAUUGAACUUUGCAAAUGCGGUUCGCCCGAGCAGGGCGUGAUAGCCACUGCGGAACGGGACUAUGUCGAAGAUUAACUACUCGCUUCAGAAAUUAUCCGGGGAUCUGAAGACCACUUCAAGUGUAACUGAGCCCGUACAGCUGGCUUCUACACCUGGUAUGAUGCCUUUAAAGGUCGUCUUUGCGUGCUUAAUCCUUGAGGGAUCUAUGCCCAUUUUUUGCACUGUAUCCUGGUAAAGCAGGUUCAGGCUGCUGCCGCCGUCCAUGAGGACUCUAGUGAGGUGAAAUCCGUCAAUGAUUGGGUCUAGAACCAAUGCGGCAAAUCCGCCAUGACGGAUGCUAGUGGGGUGGUCCCUACGAUCAAAAGUGAUCGGGCAGGAAGACCAUGGGUUGAACUUUGGGGCGACUGGCUCCAACGCAUAUACGUCCCUGAGUGCACGCUUCCGCUCACUUUUGGGGAUGUGGGUUGCGUAUAUCAUGUUUACCGUCCGCACUUAUGGGGGAAAACCCUUUUGUCCUCCGUUGUUCGAUGACCGGGGCUCCUCCUCCUCAUCGCUAUGCAGCCCCUUGUCUCUGUUUUUGGCACUUAACUUGCCUGCCUGUUUGAACACCCAACAACCCUUGUUGGUGUGAUUAGCUGGUUGUUCGGGGGUCCUGUGUAUCUGGCACGAGCGAUCGAGUAUCCGGUCUAAACUCGACGGGCCCAGAGUAGUUCUUUUGAACGGCUUUUUCGCUGGCCGGGUUUAGAGCCUCUGAAUCCGGCAUUAACUGUCUUAUCCUCGGUAUUGUCGCCGUUAAUGCGGCGCUUGUGCUUGUUGCGACGCGACCUGCCGUUGUUGUCCUUGGUAUCUGAAUUACCAGGGCUCUUGGUCAUAUUAUUGCUACGAGCUAGCCAGCUGUCUUCUCCCGCGCAAAAGCGGGUCAUGAGUGUCGUGAGGGCUGCCAUGGAUUCGGCUUUUCAUGUCCAAGGUGCCGGGCAAGCCAUCGUUACGGAUGUUAUGUUUGAAGGCUGCAAGGGCCUCUGCGUCCGGACAGUCGACUAUUUGAUUUUUCUUGGUUAGGAACCGUGUCCAGAAUUGUCUGGCCGAUUCCUCUGGCUGCUGAAUUAUGUGGCUUAGGUCAUCGGCGUCUAGUGGUUGAACAUAAGUUCCCUGGAAGUUGUCAAGGAAUGCAGAUUCCAGGUCCUCCCAGCAACCAAUUGACUCUGCUGGCAAGCUGUUAAGCCAAUGCCGAGCUGGUCCUUUAAGCUUGAGCGAUCCACAUCGCAGGAUCUGUUGUACCAUCGUAUGAUUCGAUGUUUACAGGUUUAAACCCUUUGGGGAUUUGAUGAUCCAUUACUUCGUCUGUGAAGCAUAGUGGGUGUGCGGCGCCUCUGUACUGGGCUAUAUUGCGACGUAGCUCAUACGAGCUUUGCCUGCCGUGUUCGGCCUGGCCGUAUUUGCCAUAUCCGGCGUGACAGUUAUCGUCACGUGUCGUGGGGCGCCCACGCGAUCCGUAGAUCGAUCUUGUUUGCCGGGCCUUGUCUUCUAUUAUGUCUCACAGGUCUGACGCGUUUCCCCGUGCCUUGGUAUUUUUUGAGCGGCGCCGGGGUGCGGCUUGAAUGGAUGGCCGAGAGGCCUCUCUGUCACGACCACGAGGUGGUCGAUCGGCUGCAUCAUACGCUGGUGAUGUAGGUUUAGUUGCUUCCUCCUCUAGUUGUUGUAGCAGCCUGUGCUUUGGGUAGCUGUUGGAGGGGCGUUCGAGUUUGUACUCUUCGGACGCCAGGACUUCAGUCCAUCUGUCGGCUAGAAAAUCUUGGUCAGCUCUAAGUUGCUGCUGUUUUUUCUUGAGGCUGCUUGCCUUGGCCAUAAGCCUGCGUUUGAAACGCUCUUGUUCGACGGGAUCCUCAGGCACGACAAAUUCGUCGUCGUCGAGGCUUGCCUCGUCUUCAGAGGGAGGCAUAUAAUUUCCGUCCUCGACCUCUCUGUCUGCCGCUCUCUCAUGAGGGCUGGCUUCUCCAUCCUCCUGCGUUGAAUCCUGCUGGAGGGGGUUGUCUUUGGCACUGUCCAGGGUGUUAUUGUCUCCGGUGCCGGACUCGCCAUUUUUGCUUUGGCGGGAUUUAGAGCGGUGCCGCUGACGCCGGCGCUUAGGCUGUUUCUUGGAGGGGUCAUCCUCAUUGUUCCAUCGCCAUUCCCUUCCUUUGGGGUGUCCACCAUGUAUAUGUCAUAUGACGAGGUGGCUUUCCAGUGCCCUAUAGGCGCUGGUUCUUGGUCGUCUGCUUCAUCGGCGUCCAUACUGUCGAUGUCUUCGGAGUCGAAGUCGAGCAUGUCGGUUAAAUCAUCGACAGUGGCUACGAAGUGGGUGGUGGGUGGGUUUCGAAUUUCUUCGUCGUCCGCAUACCAACCUUGCUGACCAUAGUCCGGCCAGGGCUCUCCUGAUAAAGAGAGAGACUUUAGUGAAUUCAGUAUGUCGCCAAAGGGAGAGUGCUGAAAGAUAUCCGCGGCGGUGAACUCCAUGAUCGGAGCCCAACUGGGUUCAAUCGGAAGGGGUGCGGAAGAUUCGGAGUCCGGAAAGGAGUCCGACACCUUGGAGUCACGAGCUUCACGAAGGACAAGGCAGGUAUUCGGCUCGACCGUCAUAGAGAUUGCAGCCCCCGAGGCGGUGUCCAACCAUCCAUCCCCGAUUGGCGCAGUCGGCUCCAAGCUAAGGGUCGGAGCGGACACCUGAGCGGCCUUCUGGGCACUGUCCGGCGGUAGAGCUAUAUCAUGCCCAUCGUGAUAGUGCGGCAUGCUCGGCUGUGGCUCGAAUCCGUCGAAGAUCAAGUCUCCGCGGAUGUCAGCCGUGUAGUUCAAACUUCCAAAUCUGACCUGAUGGCCAGGGGCGUAGCUUUCGAUCUGCUCCAGAUGGCCAAGCGAAUUGGCCCGCAGUGCAAAGCCGCCGAAUACGAAGAUAUGUCCAGGGAGAAAGGUCUCACCCUAGACCGCAUCGUUGUUGAUGAUCGUAGAAGCCAUCGGGCCUAAAGGUGUCGACACAGAGGAACUCUCAAUGAAAGCACCAAUGUCGGUUUCAAAACUGGUGGAUCUCGGGUAGGGGGUCCCGAAUAGUGCGUCUAGGCGGAUGGUAACAGGGGACAAGGGACACGAUGUUUUUACCCAGGUUCGGGCCCUCUCGAUGGAGGUAAAACCCUACUCCUGCUUGAUUAAUAUUAAUGAUAUGGGUAGUACAAGAGUUGAUCUACCACGAGAUCAGAGAGGCUAAACCCUAGAAGCUAGCCUAUGGUAUGAUUGUUGUUCGUCCUACCGACUAAACCUCUCCGGUUUAUAUAGACACCGAAGAGGGCUAGGGUUACACAGAGUCGGUUACAAUGGCAGGAGAUCUACAUAUCGUAUUGCCAACCUUGCCUUCCACACCAAGGAAAGUCCUAUCCGGACACGGGACGAAGUCUUCAAUCUUGUAUCUUCAUAGUCCUGGAGUUCGGCCAAAGGUCAUAGUCCGUCCAUCCGGACACCCCCUAAUCCGGGACUCCCUCAGUCAUGAUAAUACACCCCAUGAUAUGUCAUUGUUAUUAUUUUUAGCAAACCUGCACUGAUAUUUGCUUAGCUAGUUAACAUCACAGUCUCCUUUAUUGGAGCCCUGGAGUAGUCUAUGCACAUUGUACACCUGCACAAUUUGCCAACAAUAUGAGCCUCCAAAUUGCAUUCCUUGUUCUCAGGGCACGUAAGGAUUCAGUGGCAAUCUUCCUGACAACCACCAAACUUCUUUAGGUAUUUAAACGUACACCUUUGGUUUGUAUCCGCAUGUGCAAAAUAUUACCAACAAGAAGAAAUCCAAAUCAUGAAAAGAACAGUUUUGUUGAUUGGGUUGAUGCAACACACUUGGUGGAACCGAUUAAACGUACUUGAUGCUAGCACGAGAAAGGCGAGUGUCAGGAGUAGCGCCAAAGCUGCAAUCUUCAUCCUAACUUGUAUGUGGCGUUGGUAGGAAAGUGACUGCUUGUGAGCCUUGAGGAAGAGAAAAUGAUAUGGCAACCAUUUUGAUAGUAGGUUUUAUAUUAAUGCUCAUUAUUGUAAUACAAAAAUAGCAUUAAAAGAAAGAUUGGAUAAGGUAUGUCGUAUUAAAAGCAAUUAACUGGACUUCAGGAUAAGAUAUGUACAGACGCUUUGUAGCAGAGCAAGGAAGCGAAAUUAAGAGAUUGCACAUUUGAGCGGACGUUUUCACAUGAAAAAGAUAGACAAAAGAAAAACAUCUAUCUAUACAAUUACUAAGCUCCCUUGAAAUAAGGUCUCCUAGUGAAUCCAGGGUGUGAAAAGUGCAUGGGCCAUGGGUGAGAGUGGGUGAGGCGUGUUGGUGGGCAGCUUGGUCCUUUGCGUGUCCAGUUUUCUUGUGUACAUGCGCAGUUCGCUUGCUGGUCCCUUGCAUGUUGGUUCAUCUAGCAAAGAAAGAAAAAAGCCGUUACCACACCUAGCUAAUAAAAGAAUCUCAAUGAGCAAAACUUAUUAAACAAAGAAAAUGUUAGGAAUAAAUUAGGAUGUGUCUAUUAAUAUUAAUAACUAAAAUAUAUUAAUUAACGAAUCAUCAUUCUUGUGACCAAUCCAAAGUAGUGAUGUCCCUUUUUCUUUUAACAUUUAUAACUGCCAUCUUUUGGAGGCAGAUUCUCCCGAUGUAUAGAUACCUUUUCUAUCAAUGGAAUUAGAGAGGGUAGCUCUCUCUCUCUCCCUCCCCUCACUAUCUUACUUGCAUUUUUCAGAUAUAUGUUCUUUUACUUUUAUUCAAAUUUACCUCCAUGGUCAAACUUCCUGAAAGGUCACCCAUCCUCACACUACUCCAGCCCAAGCACGCUUAACUUCAGAGUUCAAUCCAACCCCAGCACCAGCUCACAUCACAGGCACUUGUUGAUAUAUCUAGCAUAUCAGUCGUAUUAAACCUUGUUGAUGUUUAGGACUUUGUUCAUGUUCAUGAGUGUGAGGAAAUUUUGAAAAUUUAUUUCAAACUUCCGCUCAUAUUACGUAUCAUAUUUUGAAAAAAUAAUUCCCGAAAAAAAUUCAAAACUAAUAUUUUUCUCUGUUACUAGUGGCGCACCUAGCAAACGGUGCACCACUAGUAAGUUUGAAAUUUUUUGAAUUUAUUUGCCUCUAGAUCUUGAAAGCCCUGUAACUUUUUUCGGUUAGGUUUUUGAGGAUUUUGAAAAAAAUUAACGGGGUUCCCCCCAUUAAGAACGGAUGUAUUUUUAACGGGGUUCCCCCCGUUAAGAUCGGAUUGGUAAUAUAUUCAAAAAGGAAGAUGGUAUUUUUAACGCCUCAUAUAUAUAUCACUUAAUAACACCAUGUACAAAACUCAAGGUGUAACGUUGAAUUAUGUUCUAUAAAGAUUUAUUGUGAAUAGUCAUGUUAAUACACCCCACGAUAUGGCAUUGUUAUUAUUUUUAGCAAACCUGCAUUGAUAUUUGCUUAGCUAGUUAACAUCACAGUUACUUUUAUUGGAGCCUUGGAGUAGUCUAUGCACAUUGUACACCUGCACAAUUUGCCAACAAUAUGAGUCUCCAAAUUGCAUUCCUUGUUCUCAGGGCACGUAAGGAUUCAGUGGCAAUCUUCCUGACAACCACCAAACUUCUUCAUGUAUUUAAACGUACACCUUCAGUUUGUAUUCACAUCUGCAAAAUAUUACCAACAAGAAGAAAUCCAAAUCAUGAAAAUAACAGUUUUGUUGAUUGGGUUGAUGCAACACUCUUGGAGGAACCGAUUAAACGUACUUGAUGCUAGCACGAGAAAGGUGAGUGUCAGGAGUAGCGUCAAAGCUGCAAUCUUCAUCCAAACUUGUAUGUGGCGUUGGUAGGAAAGUGACUGCUUGUGAGCCUUGAGGAUGAGAAAAUGAUAUGGCAUCCAUUUUUUAGUAGGUUUGAUAUUAAUGCUCAUUAUUGUAAUACAAAAAUAGCAUGAAAAUAAAGAUUGGAUAAGUUAUGUCGUAUUAAAAGCAAUUAAGUGGACUUCAGGAUAAGAUAUGUACAGACGCUUUGUAGCAGAGCAAGGAAACGAAAUUAAGAGAUUGCACAUUUGAGCAGAAAUUUUCACAUGAAAAAGAUAGAUAAAAGAAAAACUUCUAUCUAUAUAGUUACUAAGCUCCCUUGAAAUAAGGUCUGCUAGUGAAUCUAGGGUGUGAAAAGUGCAUGGGCCCUGGGUGACAGUGGGUGAGGCGUGUUGGUGGGAAGCUCGGUCCCUUGCGUGUCCAGUUUUCUUGUGUACAUGCGAAGUUCGCUUGCUGGUCCCUUGCAUGUUGGUUCUUCUAGCAAAGAAAGAAAAAGGCCGUUACCACACCCAGCCAAUAAAAGAAUCUCAAUGAGCAAAACUGAUUGAACAAAGAAAAUGUUAGGAACAAAUUAGGAUGUGUCAAUUAUAUUAAGAACUAAAAUGUAUUAAUUAACGAAUCAUCAUUCUUGUGACCAAUCCAAAUUAGUGAUGCCCCUUUUCUUUUAACAUUUGUAACUGCCAUCUCUUGGAGGCUACUUCUCCCUAUGUAUAGAUACCUUUUCUAUCAAUGGAAUUAGAGAGGGUAGCUCUCUCUCUCCCUCCCCUUGCUAUUUUACUUGCGUUUUUCAGAUAUAUGUUGUUUUACUUUUAUUCAAAUUUACCUCCGUGGUCAAACUUCCCGAAAGGUCACCCAUCCUCACACUACUCCAGCCCAAGCACGCUUAACUUCAGAGUUCUAUCCAACCCCAGCACCAGCUCACUUCACAGGCACUUGUUGAUAUAUCUAGCAUAUCAAUCCUAUUAAACCUUGUUGAUGUUUAGGACUUUGUUCAUGUUCAUGAGUGUGAGGAAAUUUUGAAAAUUUAUUUCAAACUUCCGCUCAUAUUACGUAUCAUAUUCUGAAAAAAUAAUUCCCGAAAAAAUUCAAAACUAAUAUUUUUCUCUGUUACUAGUGGCGCACCUAGCAAACGGUGCACCACUAGUAAGUUUGAAAUUUUUUGAAUUUAUUUGCCUCUAGAUCUUGAAAGCCCUGUAACUUUUUUUCGGUUAGGUUUUUGAGGAUUUUGAAAAAAAUUAACGGGGUUCCCCCCAUUAAGAUCGGAUGUAUUUUUAACGGGGUUCCCCCCGUUAAGAUCGGAUUGGUAAUAUAUUCAAAAAGGAAGAUGGUAUUUUUAACGCCUCAUAUAUAUAUCACUUAAUAACACCAUGUACAAAACUCAAGGUGUAACGUUGAAUUAUGUUCUAUAAAGAUUUAUUGUGAAUAGUCAUGUUAAUACACCCCACGAUAUGGCAUUGUUAUUAUUUUUAGCAAACCUGCACUGGUAUUUGCUUAGCUAGUUAACAUCACAGUUCCUUUUAUUGGAGCCUUGGAGUAGUCUAUGCACAUUGUACACCUGCACAAUUUGCCAACAAUAUGAGUCUCCAAAUUGCAUUCCUUGUUCUCAGGGCACGUAAGGAUUCAGUGGCAAUCUUCCUGACAACCACCAAACUUCUUCAUGUAUUUAAACGUACACCUUCAGUUUGUAUUCGCAUCUGCAAAAUAUUACCAACAAGAAGAAAUCCAAAUCAUGAAAAUAACAGUUUUGUUGAUUGGGCUGAUGCAACACUCUUGGAGGAACCGAUUAAACGUACUUGAUGCUAGCACGAGAAAGGUGAGUGUCAGGAGUAGCGUCAAAGCUGCAAUCUUCAUCCAAACUUGUAUGUGGCGUUGGUAGGAAAGUGACUGCUUGUGAGCCUUGAGGAAGAGAAAAUGAUAUGGCAUCCAUUUUUAUAGUAGGUUUGAUAUUAAUGCUCCUUAUUGUAAUACAAAAAUAGCAUGAAAAUAAAGAUUGGAUAAGUUAUGUCGUAUUAAAAGCAAUUAAGUGGACUUCAGGAUAAGAUAUGUACAGACGCUUUGUAGCAGAGCAAGGAAACGAAAUUAAGAGAUUGCACAUUUGAGCAGAAAUUUUCACAUGAAAAAGAUAGAUAAAAGAAAAACUUCUAUCUAUAUAGUUACUAAGCUCCCUUGAAAUAAGGUCUGCUAGUGAAUCUAGGGUGUGAAAAGUGCAUGGGCCCUGGGUGACAGUGGGUGAGGCGUGUUGGUGGGAAGCUCGGUCCCUUGCGUGUCCAGUUUUCUUGUGUACAUGCGAAGUUCGCUUGCUGGUCCCUUGCAUGUUGGUUCUUCUAGCAAAGAAAGAAAAAGGCCGUUACCACACCCAGCCAAUAAAAGAAUCUCAAUGAGCAAAACUGAUUGAACAAAGAAAAUGUUAGGAACAAAUUAGGAUGUGUCAAUUAUAUUAAGAACUAAAAUGUAUUAAUUAACGAAUCAUCAUUCUUGUGACCAAUCCAAAUUAGUGAUGCCCCUUUUCUUUUAACAUUUGUAACUGCCAUCUCUUGGAGGCUACUUCUCCCUAUGUAUAGAUACCUUUUCUAUCAAUGGAAUUAGAGAGGGUAGCUCUCUCUCUCCCUCCCCUCACUAUUUUACUUGCGUUUUUCAGAUAUAUGUUGUUUUACUUUUAUUCAAAUUUACCUCCGUGUCAAUUAUAUUAAGAACUAAAAUGUAUUAAUUACGAAUCAUCAUUCUUGUGACCAAUCCAAAUUAGUGAUGCCCCUUUUCUUUUAACAUUUGUAACUGCCAUCUCUUGGAGGCUACUUCUCCCUAUGUAUAGAUACCUUUUCUAUCAAUGGAAUUAGAGAUGGUAGCUCUCUCUCUCCCUCCCCUCACUAUUUUACUUGCGUUUUUCAGAUAUAUGUUGUUUUACUUUUAUUCAAAUUUACCUCCGUGGUCAAACUUCCCAAAAGGUCACCCAUCCUCACACUACUCCAGCCCAAGCACGCUUAACUUCAGAGUUCUAUCCAACCCCAGCACCAGCUCACUUCACAGGCACUUGUUGAUAUAUCUAGCAUAUCAAUCCUAUUAAACCUUGUUGAUGUUUAGGACUUUGUUCAUGUUCAUGAGUGUGAGGAAAUUUUGAAAAUUUAUUUCAAACUUCCGCUCAUAUUACGUAUCAUAUUUUGAAAAAAUAAUUCCCGAAAAAAAUUCAAAACUAAUAUUUUUCUCUGUUACUAGUGGCGCACCUAGCAAACGGUGCACCACUAGUAAGUUUGAAUUUUUUUGAAUUUAUUUUCCUCUAGAUCUUGAAAGCCCUGUAACUUUUUUUCGGUUAGGUUUUUGAGGAUUUUGAAAAAAAUUAACGGGGUUCCCCCCAUUAAGAUCGGAUGUAUUUUUAACGGGGUUCCCCCCGUUAAGAUCGGAUUGGUAAUAUAUUCAAAAAGGAAGAUGGUAUUUUUAACGCCUCAUAUAUAUAUCACUUAAUAACACCAUGUACAAAACUCAAGGUGUAACGUUGAAUUAUGUUCUAUAAAGAUUUAUUGUGAAUAGUCAUGUUAAUACACCCCACGAUAUGGCAUUGUUAUUAUUUUUAGCAAACCUGCACUGAUAUUUUCUUAGCUAGUUAACAUCACAGUUCCUUUUAUUGGAGCCUUGGAGUAGUCUAUGCACAUUGUACACCUGCACAAUUUGCCAACAAUAUGAGUCUCCAAAUUGCAUUCCUUGUUCUCAGGGCACGUAAGGAUUCAGUGGCAAUCUUCCUGACAACCACCAAACUUCUUCAUGUAUUUAAACGUACACCUUCAGUUUGUAUUCGCAUAUGCAAAAUAUUACCAACAAGAACAAAUCCAAAUCAUGAAAAUAACAGUUUUGUUGAUUGGGUUGAUGCAACACUCUUGGAGGAACCGAUUAAACGUACUUGAUGCUAGCACGAGAAAGGUGAGUGUCAGGAGUAGCGUCAAAGCUGCAAUCUUCAUCCAAACUUGUAUGUGGCGUUGGUUGGAAAGUGACUGCUUGUGAGCCUUGAGGAAGAGAAAAUGAUAUGGCAUCCAUUUUUAUAGUAGGUUUGAUAUUAAUGCUCAUUAUUGUAAUACAAAAAUAGCAUGAAAAUAAAGAUUCGAUAAGUUAUGUCGUAUUAAAAGCAAUUAAGUGGACUUCAGGAUAAGAUAUGUACAGACGCUUUGUAGCAGAGCAAGGAAACGAAAUUAAGAGAUUGCACAUUUGAGCAGAAAUUUUCACAUGAAAAAGAUAGAUAAAAGAAAAACUUCUAUCUAUAUAGUUACUAAGCUCCCUUGAAAUAAGGUCUGCUAGUGAAUCUAGGGUGUGAAAAGUGCAUGGGCCCUGGGUGACAGUGGGUGAGGCGUGUUGGUGGGAAGCUCAGUCCCUUGCGUGUCCAGUUUUCUUGUGUACAUACGAAGUUCGCUUGCUGGUCCCUUGCAUGUUGGUUCUUCUAGCAAAGAAAGAAAAAGGCCGUUACCACACCCAGCUAAUAAAAGAAUCUCAAUGAGCAAAACUGAUUGAACAAAGAAAAUGUUAGGAACAAAUUAGGAUGUGUCAAUUAUAUUAAGAACUAAAAUGUAUUAAUUAACGAAUCAUCAUUCUUGUGACCAAUCCAAAUUAGUGAUGCCCCUUUUCCUUUAACAUUUGUAACUGCCAUCUCUUGGAGGCUACUUCUCCCUAUGUAUAGAUACCUUUUCUAUCAAUGGAAUUAGAGAGGGUAGCUCUCUCUCUCCCUCCCCUCACUAUUUUACUUGCGUUUUUCAGAUAUAUGUUGUUUUACUUUUAUUCAAAUUUACCUCCGUGGUCAAACUUCCUGAAAGGUCACCCAUCCUCACACUACUCCAGCCCAAGCACGCUUAACUUCAGAGUUCUAUCCAACCCCAGCACCAGCUCACUUCACAGGCACUUGUUAAUAUAUCUAGCAUAUCAAUCCUAUUAAACCUUGUUGAUGUUUAGGACUUUGUUCAUGUUCAUGAGUGUGACGAAAUUUUGAACAAUUAUUUCAAACUUCCGUUCAUAUUACGUAUCAUAUUUAAAAAAAAUCCCGAAAAAAAUUCGAAACAAUUUUUUUUCUGUUACUAGUGGCGCACCUAGCAAACGGUGCGCCACUAGUAAGUUUGAAUUUUUUUGAAUUUUUUUGCCUCUAGAUCUUGAAAGCCCGGUAACAUUUUUUUGUCACGACCAGUUUUCCGGGUAUUAAUUUCCCAGAAAAUGGCCUUUGUGCUCACUAGCCCCAGGAUUACUGUUAGCUGAUGAGGCACCAACUUGUUACAGAAACUCCAAGCAAAAAUACAUAAUAUGUAGUACAAGACCAUUCUGGCCUAUGAGUACAACAUAAGGUUGCUAGUGGUUGAUGGCGGAAGCGGUUUGUGGAUCAUCAGCGUUAUGGGACUCCAUUUCACACAGGAACAGCUGACCAGGUUAACUCCUAUCUUCGCGAGGCUGCUAUCAUCGUUGCUUAGGUUCCGGGGCUGUCAUCGCAAAGCUCCUCUCUAUGCAAGAAAUCUGGCCAAGACAAUAGCCAGGGCCAAGCUAGUGAGUACUUCGAAUGUACUCGCAAACAUUAUGAACACUGGUAUAAUAUAACAAAUCAUGCUCUAAAAUAUCCUAUGAUCACAACAUCAGUCAUAAAAUGGAAUCCCCGAUGCAUGCAAGCAGGUUAUUUAUAUGAAACAUUAAUAUGUAAUAGCAAAGUAGUAAUAAAAUGCACCGGUCGGGUGUCUGAAGCGACGCCUCGAAAGGAUAGUAAAUAACGAGCGUGCCUCAGUCGGGCGUCUGAGCGACACCACAUAAAGGGCUUAUAAAGUAAAUAAAUAACAUCAUGCCACAGUCGGGCGUCUGAGCGACACCACAUAAAGGGCUUAUAAAGUAAAUAAAUAACAGCAUGCCACAGUCGUGCGUCUGAGUGACACCACAUAAAGGGCUUAUAAAGUAAAUAAAUAACAGCAUGCCACAGUCGGGCGUCUGAGCGACACCACAUAAAGGGCUUAUAAGAAAACAAUCAUAGUGAAUAUCCAGGAGGUAAAACCGUCCCAGGGAUACUCAAUACUGCAAAUAAUAUAAAGGGGUUAGUCCAUAAUAAUAAUAAUCAUAAUCAUCAUAAGUCACAAGUCACGAUCCAUGUUCUGGUUUAGCAGUUUUCUCCUCCGAAGCCCGACACUAUGCCCGACACUUGACCCAACCCAGACUGUAGUUCUUAACCAUGGACACGGCUAUUCGAAUAGAUGUUAAAUCUCUGCAGAGGGUUUACUCUUUACCCACGAGUAACGGAUUCCUUUAGUCCAUCGGGACUAAUUCCAUCUACGGUCUUUUAAUUGAAAACACACCUGACUUGCACACACCAGCUUAACUUACAGGUGUCUGGAAUCACCCACGACACCUGUCAAGAAAAACUCUAAGUGGGGAGGCUACAACCUCGCGUAGCAUGGGAUCAAAUUUAUAUAGCGCGCUCUAAGUGGUGGCCUCCCCUCUCGGUCCCAACCGGAAACACCCAUGCCCCCUGACCGGAUGACUGGCUUUAAUCCAUGGCCAUGGUACCUUCAUCCCGGCCCCUCUGUACGGUGUGUGCUAGAAAGGGGUUGACAACUUACUGAACCGUACCCUGCCUGUGGCAGGGAAAAGUGGUAGUACGAAACAAGUGUGGGGGUUACCGGAACAAGACUUGAUCUAUGGUCGACUCAGGAGGUUUAAGUAUUCCCUGCAUGAUUAGCAUAACGAAUAUAUUUCACCCAACAGACAGAAUCACCACUCAUUAUACCCCAUCAUGCCAUACCGAACACACUCGUCUCAACGAGGAACUAGGGACAAGCUCAGGUCUACCCAAGAUAGAGACUUUCCCGGCUUCCUUCCGGCAGGCACGAAAAGCAUACGAGGAUGAUUACUGUCACAAGCAUGACCAUUUCCAACAGCAAGGAAAUCUCCAAUAUGCAUGAGAUCAUUAAUAUGCACUCAUGAGUUUGAACAUAUCAUCACAUAAAAUAACGGACACUCCGUGUCGAGGUGGUAUUGUAACCGCGUCAGACAACACACACAAAAAUAUGCCCGAGUUCAGAAUGUCUGCCUUCAAGGGUAUGCAAGAGGGGUGCAUAUAUGAAAAUUGCCUUCUUCUUAAAAGACCUUAUUUUGAAAUUAUUCAAAUUAACACAUCGAUUCAAAACAGUGCAAAAAAGUUGUCUGAAUUUUUUUCAAAUAAAUCUUAAAAUAAACUAGAUUAAAUUUGAGAGAGGUUAGAAAAAGAAUCAACUCAUUUGGAGUUUUAUUUAAAAAGAUAUAGUCAGACAAAGUUUAGUCAAAUUUGUGUUUUUUUAAAUAAAACAGAAAAAAAAAGAAAACGUUUCGAGCGUGUACACGUCAAACAUGUACUCUGUAAAUACGCUUCCACUUACGCCUGCGUGGACCGGCACUGGGUCACUGACAGUGGGCCCUCCUGGCCCACUGGUCAGGUUUGACCAGUCCACGCGCGCGGAGCUCCGGCGAGGCUCGCAGGCGAACGAAGGCCUCCCUCGGGGAUCUGAGGAUAUGGGUGUGCUCAGGAGGUCGAGGCGAACCCGUGGGUACCCGCCAUGGUCGCCGACAUGGACGGAGUCGCAGGCGACGAGCUCCGCGGCGGAGAAGGCUUCGGGUGGAAUUGGGGUUCCGCGCUACGGUGGCUCUCCGUCGAGGCUGAAGGUCUGGGCGGCUCCGCAAGAUCAUGUUGAGUCUGGUGGUGGCGUUGGACGGACGGGAGGGGCUCUGGUCGCGGUGAACGGGGCUGGGACGUGGCGGCUCCCCCCCGAUGAUUGCUGAUUGUGGGGGUGCCAUGGGGGUGGCCUGAGGUCGUCUGAGUGCUCGGAUGAGCUCGGGGGCCUCCUUUUAUAGCGCGAGGAGGUCGGUUCUGCGGCGGUGGAUAAGGAUGCCGGCGACCGCUGUUGUGUAGCUUGCAGGGCACCGUGUCAGGGCUGGGGAUGGCGGUGGGAGCUAGCGGAUGAGCGGGGACUGCUUCAGGGGCGAGCUGGCGCACGGGAGUGGCUCGGGCGGCGCCGACCAGUGCAGAGGCUGUCGAGAGGUAGUGGCGGCUAGCUUCUGGCUUGCCGGAGACGUGGCGAGGGGCUGUGGUGCUCGUGAGGGGGUACGGGUUGAGGCUUGGCCCUACGCUGCGAGCGGCAGAGGGUUUGGAUAAGCUCGGGGAACAUGCCAGGGGCGCGGUGGCUCGGGCGCGGCACGUGCAAAACGCACGCUCUGGGCGCGCCCAGAGCACGCUCACCAGGUGCUCGGCGAAAUGCCAGUGCAUGCCACAGAGCUUGGGUGAGGCUGGAAAAUAGCAGACCUAGGUUAGGAGUAGCUAGGAGCUUAGUGGACAAGGUUGCUGGGUCAGUGGAUCAAGUUCAUAUUGCAAACUAAACUUCAUGUCAAAACUGAUCAUGCCCAUAAGGUGUUUGACAAAAUGCCAAGGGCACUAAGGCAUUUCUUGGGGUGGCCAGAAUCUCCAGGUUGGGGUCUCUUUAGAUGCAAAAGAGAGUGGUAAGGUCAUUUGGGCAAAAGGAGAAACUUGCUAGUGCAAGUUUUGCAAAUCUUCAGUUCUGGAAUGAAGGAAAAAGGCAUGAUUGCAUGCACUUAAAAUCCUCCCAUGGGUCUACUAUCUUGGACUAAAGGGUUUUGUAAGGUGUACUACAAGCAGGAGAAAGCUCAUGGUCACUAGAGCACAAAUGAUUAGGGAUGCAGUAGAAAACACCCAACUGGGCCAGAAUGAAAAGGAGGUUGUUUCACUCAAUUUUUACAAAGAAAAAUCAUGGGUUUUUGCAUAAAAAUGAAUUACAAGCACCUACUGACAUCUCCAAAUUUUUAAGCAAUUUUUAAAGAAAUAUUUAAAUAGGUUGUAGUGCAAAAUUGCCCACUCGACCAGAUUUUAAAACUUGAUGUAGGGCUCAAAAUAUCCAAAGAAUGAAAUAUAUUUUUGCAUAAAAGUGAUCUAAAAACAUCACAUGAUAUCUCCAAAUUUUUUUGGGAUUUUUAAAUAAAUUUAUCAAAGGGUUGUAGUGCAAAUGAGGCCGUGAAACUUAUAAAAAUCAUUUUUAAUGAAAAAAGGCUCAGGGAAAAAUAAUUAUUCAAAUAAUCCCACUGAUAAAAGAAAUGUUUUUCUUGAGAGGGCAAAUAAGUCCAACCAUGAUUGAAAAGUUUUCACUUGGGGUAAAAACUCCAUAAUAAUAAAGCAAAGAAUGGUUCUGAAAUCAAAAGGAAAUCCAGAAAAUAAAAGUUUAAGUUUCCUGGCAAAAUUUUAGUUAAUAAAACAAGAUUAAAUUUUUUGGGGUGUCACAAGACUUCCCCCCUUAAAAAAAUCUCAUCCUCGAGAUUUGUUAAGAGUUUUUUUUUUGAAAAUACCAUUCCAGUUAGAUGAAACCAAAAGGUUUAUUCAGAGCACAAACUUGCGUCGUCGAGGUUGGUCUUUGGUAGCUACGCUUGGGAUUAAAAAUGCAACUGUACACUAAUAUACUCAUGCAGGGCUACUAUUAAAAACAGGGACGCACAAUCAAAUAAUAUUUAAUAAUGGCGGUACAGGAUCACACAGUUACAAGACGAGGACAUACUAAGACUCGGUACUACUCGAGCGACUCUAGUCUACCUCGUUAAUAUCUAAUCAGGCUUGCCUCGUGGACGUCGAGGUUUCUCCAUGGUUUUCACCGUUAGGAUUAGUUGGAGGGCACUAGUAGAAAAGGGGGCAAUGGUCCAGGCCAGGUCAGCCCAUUAGUCCCGGUUCAAACAAGAACCGGGACCAAUGGGGGCAUUGGACCCGGUUCGUGAGCCCCGGGGGCCUGCCGGGCCACGUGGGCCAUUGGUCCCGGUUCGUCUGGACCUUUUGGUCCCGGUUGGUUGGAUGAACCGGGACCAACGCGCCUCGCUCCUAGCCCACCACCAUUGGUCCCGGUUGGUGGCUUGAACCGGGACCAAAGGCUGACCUUUAGUCCCGGUUCAAGCCACCAACCGGGACUAAAGGGUUGGCCCUCGUUGCGGUCAGAGUUUAGUCCCACCUCGCCAACCGAAGGGGAAUCAGACCGGUUUAUAAGCCCCUCCUUCUCUCCCUUUGUUGAGCUCAUCUCAAAAUGAAAAUAGAUGCCCUUAUACAGGAAAUUUAAUCUAAAUUCAUAUGAAUUUCUCUGAAAUUAGUAGAAAUUCAUUAUGAAUUUAGGUUGAAUUUUCUCUAUAAGCGCAUCUAUGCUCAUUUCUGAGCAGUUUUUUAUAUAGUUUUUUUUCUUUUCUGCUAUAUUUAUUUUUUUUCUUUUUAUUUCUGAGUUGUAAUAAGUCAUUAAAAAUAAGCAUCUAUGCUCAUUUUUUAGUUAAGUUAAUCACAACUAUUUUUUUCUAUUUAUUUCUGAAUUGUAAUAAGUCAUUAAAAAUAAGCAUCUAUGCUCAUUUUUUAAGUAAAGUUAAUCACAACUAUUUUUGCUUCUAUUUAUUUUUGAGUAGUUUUUUCUAUUUUCUGCUAUAUUUAUUUUUUCUUCUUAUUUCUGAGUUGUAAUAAGUCAUUAAAAAUAAGCAUCUAUGCUCAUUUUUUAGUUAAGUUAAUCACAACUAUUAAAAAUAAGUCAUUAAAAAUAAAAAAGAGGCGCAAUGCUCGUUAAUUUGCUUCAAGCCUUUCGGAAUAGUGUCAACUGCACUGCACAUAGCUCUGUGCAGUCUACCCCUAUUCCUCAAGGCUUGAAGCUAACCAACGUGCAGGUGAGCAUUGAGCCUCUUCUUCAUCGUCUCUGCACUCAGGGCUUAUAAACAGCUACGAGUGCCUCUCGCUGGGCGAGGUGGGACUAAAAAAAUAGUUGCAGAAAUAAUCCACUAAAAAACAGUUGCAGAAAAUAAAAAAUUAGACCGGUACCACUAGUACCAGUUGGUGGAGCCAACCGUACGAAUACCCCUCUUUGGUACCGGUUGGUGCCACCAACCGGUACCAAUGCCCUCCUUUUGUCCCGGUUGGUGCCACCAACCGAGAUUAAAGGUCCUCGUUUCCCGCCCUUUGCGGUGCCGAAAAGAGCCCUUUGGUCCCGGUUGGUGGCUCCAAUCGGGACAAAAGGCGUACAAUGGUACCGGUUUGCCGUACGAACCGGGAGCAAAGCCUUUGCUAUAUAAGUAGCACUGCCGCCCCGCCCCGAGUUCGAUCUCUCCCGAUGCCGCGCGCUGUCCCCUGCCGCCACCUCGCCGUCGCCGCCCCGCCCUGACACCGUCGCCGCCCCGCCCCGACGUCGUUGCCGCCCCGCCUCGCGAUGGCCCCNNNNNNNNNNNNNNNNNNNNNNNNNNNNNNNNNNNNNNNNNNNNNNNNNNNNNNNNNNNNNNNNNNNNNNNNNNNNNNNNNNNNNNNNNNNNNNNNNNNNNNNNNNNNNNNNNNNNNNNNNNNNNNNNNNNNNNNNNNNNNNNNNNNNNNNNNNNNNNNNNNNNNNNNNNNNNNNNNNNNNNNNNNNNNNNNNNNNNNNNNNNNNNNNNNNNNNNNNNNNNNNNNNNNNNNNNNNNNNNNNNNNNNNNNNNNNNNNNNNNNNNNNNNNNNNNNNNNNNNNNNNNNNNNNNNNNNNNNNNNNNNNNNNNNNNNNNNNNNNNNNNNNNNNNNNNNNNNNNNNNNNNNNNNNNNNNNNNNNNNNNNNNNNNNNNNNNNNNNNNNNNNNNNNNNNNNNNNNNNNNNNNNNNNNNNNNNNNNNNNNNNNNNNNNNNNNNNNNNNNNNNNNNNNNNNNNNNNNNNNNNNNNNNNNNNNNNNNNNNNNNNNNNNNNNNNNNNNNNNNNNNNNNNNNNNNNNNNNNNNNNNNNNNNNNNNNNNNNNNNNNNNNNNNNNNNNNNNNNNNNNNNNNNNNNNNNNNNNNNNNNNNNNNNNNNNNNNNNNNNNNNNNNNNNNNNNNNNNNNNNNNNNNNNNNNNNNNNNNNNNNNNNNNNNNNNNNNNNNNNNNNNNNNNNNNNNNNNNNNNNNNNNNNNNNNNNNNNNNNNNNNNNNNNNNNNNNNNNNNNNNNNNNNNNNNNNNNNNNNNNNNNNNNNNNNNNNNNNNNNNNNNNNNNNNNNNNNNNNNNNNNNNNNNNNNNNNNNNNNNNNNNNNNNNNNNNNNNNNNNNNNNNNNNNNNNNNNNNNNNNNNNNNNNNNNNNNNNNNNNNNNNNNNNNNNNNUGUAGUAAUUUAGAUGUGUAGUUCAUCGAUUUUUUAUCAUAUAUAUGCAAAGAUCGAAUAUGUCAAAUUUUUAUGAUUUUUUUCUGUUCAUAGAAUCUUUAUGAUUUUUUUCUGUUGUAAUUUUGUUUAUAGAAUUUUAAUGAUUUUUUUGUUCAUAGUACAUAUUUAGAAAAAUGAAAAAAUAAGAAGUGAAAGUGUUUAAUAUAAUUAGUUAGAAAAAUACUAGUUUAUUUUUAAUAAGUACUAGCUUAUUUUAUUUAUAGUAAGUGCUUCAUAUAUAGUUAAACUAGCUAGUUGAUUAUAUAAACUACUUUGUUUUACUGUAUAUAGAAGUAGUUUGUUUUUAGUAAGUACUACUUUAUUUAUUUAUAGUAAGUGUUUAGUAGUUGAACUAGCUAGUUGAUUUAAUUAAUAAAACUACUUUAUUUAACUAUAUAUAGAAGUAGUUCCCGCAUCGACGUCGGCGAUGCCUAUCCCGCAUCCUCGUCGUCGUCGACUCGGCAGUGGAGGCUUGCUAGAUCAGGGCCAUGUUCGGGACUGGGCUCCGCCGACUGGUAUUGGGAGGUGCUACCUUCCGGGGGACAUAGGUUGGUGAGGAGGCAGCCCAUUGUUGACCCGAUCCUUGUUUGGUGGCGGUCGCGUGGGCCAGUGACGGUGCCGAGGCUUCCGGACACCACGGACGAGCACGUCCAUCGCUACAUGGUUGCAUUGGAGGGAAGGUUCGACAAUACCUGGUAGGUUCUCUAGGGAUCUCACUGGAGCUAUGAUCCUGUGAUGGUUCCUUAUCUUUGGGUGUCCACCGCCCGCGUCGAUACCCGUCGGGCGCUACGGUUCUAGUUGUAUUAGUGAUGCUAUAUUAGUGAUAAUAUUCGACGAUGUACGGACACCAAGAGAUGAUGUACUUUUGCUUAUAAUUAUUGAAUGCAUGCUAAUUUGAAUACUACUUUAUUUUAUGAUUUGGUUUUGCUUAUUUUAUGAUUUGGUUUUGCUUAUUGAAUGCUCAUAUUGGAUAAGUUCUCCUUCAUUCCCGUGUGCUAGACAAUUUGAUGUAAUAAUGCACUCGGGAAUGAAAGGAGGAGCUACAUACAUCACCGAUAGUCAAUCCGUGAUUAAUAAUCUAGUUUAAUAUUUGAAUUAUGAACAUAGGCCGGAAAUGUCGUACUCGGACAACAAAAACCGCCAGGGGGAGUGCGACUGGUGCCACGACGACCGAGGUAUCUGUGACAGGUUCAUUGAGCUGGAGGAAGAUCGUUGCUUCAGCAUUAAGCUCGAGGAGACCUUCGAUGUUCAUACGGUACGCAACUGACGACAAUAGUUUUUUUUCGUAAUUACUCAUGACUUCAACUAUUUUAAUCAUGACAAUAUUUUUCAUCUUUUCCAAUUCGACUAGCUUAUCCCAUGCUUUGCAAGACGCUAUGUCUUGGAGAGGAUGGGUUUUGAAGACCAUGAAAGUUUCGAAACCAAAAAAAUUAUCCUAAGUACCCAUCAUGGUGUGGAUUUUCAAGUAAAGUUGUACAAUGCUCAGAGUGUAACCCAUUUUGGUUGCAAAAAUUGGGAAGCACUUUGCAAGAUGUAUGGUUUUGAUGAGGGUAUGCUUGUCACCAUGGAUCUUGGUGAUCCUACAAUCGAGCAAGAGAGACCUACGAUUUUCGUCCUUGUGGAUACACCUCCAAUUCUUCCCCCAUGUGAGCUUAACAUAGUUAUUAAGUAAUUUAUAUUGUUUAUUUCAAAAUAGUUGAAAACUUAUUCUCCAUUGACAUCUUAUUUUCAUUCUUCAAAGAAUGUGUGGAAGAUGGUAGACAGAACCUACUACACCGAAGGCUCCGAACUAACUUAUCAGGAGAAAAAUCAUCUGUUCGCAUUUUGUACUGAUCUUGAGAAUUACAAUGUCUACAAUCGAACUCCUCAACAUUAUGGUCAAUACGUGCCACUAGUGCACGUGUUGAACUAUGGUAACUACCAUAGAGAUACCCUGGUAAGAUUUUUUACUAUUACACCAUCCGUGCAUCAUUUUGCACACAUCUAAAACUAGUACAUCAUAUCAUUGCUAACUACGAAGUUAUUACUAUGUUUUUCAACAGAUAAUCCCGAAUGAUUGUGUGCCUCAUCUGAUGUAUACACACGAUAGCCUUCAUGUUUUGAACAUACAACCAGGUCUUCCUACGAAUCUGAACUGUCCAUACCGGGUUCUAAAAGAAGUGGAGACAUGACAAUCAAAGAAUGGAAGAAAUGUAUGGACAGUCAUAAGGAGCUUCUUGGAAGGGCAAAAAUUGGAGACAGGAUUAUCGCCAUUCUUCAUAAUGGAGAGUCAGGGUCUAUAUUGUUUUAUGCUAUUUUACCUUAAGGGUGUUUAGGUCCUACCUGAUACUGAUGAUCAUGUGCUAAGAACAAUUAUGUAGGGUUGGGUUCGAUGACUAUGAGGAUGAUGAUCGUAUGCCUUAUUAUUAAUAACGAGUAGAAGUUGUAUGAUGAUGCAUGAUUAGUAGGACGAGUACUUGUUAUUAUAUAUGCUGAUGUAUGCGAGCAUGCAUGAGUUAUUAUAUCAGCGGGUAAAAUGAACAUAUAUAGCAGCAGCGUUGGUAAACCAAGGACGAAGAUAUAAGAGAGGACACUUCUCUCUAUUAGCUAGCUAAUAUAACAACCUAAUUAAAAAUAACCCCCAAAACCCCUAAAGCAGCCACUUUCCAAAAAAACAUGGACUUUUGGUCCCGGUUGGUGCCACCAACCGGGACCAAAGGCCCCCUGACUGGGCUCGGCGCACAGGGCCACGUGGAGGCACAUUAGUCCCGGUUCUUGUUUGAACCGGGACUAAUGGGUGGAGGUAUUAGUAACGACCCAUUAGUCCCGGUUCAUGAACCGGGACUAAAGGCCCUCACGAACCGGGACUAUUAGGUGUUUUUCUACUAGUGGGGUGUUGAGGGACUACAGGGUCGGGGUAGCGAUGAUGACCAUCUCAGGGAUUGUUGACCACAAUCCCGCUGGAGUGUGUUCCCAAAAGCGAUGAAGCACUUAUGGCGAUGAAGCACUUAUUUUGGUCGAUGACUGGAGUAGACCUCAAAGACUCGAUCGGUUGUCCGAACAGCAGGACGGGGUUGUCGGUGUUGGGCUCAUCUUCUCCUCUUGCCGAGACUCGGCGGAUCAGCUCUCCAUGAGCUGCAAUCAGAUCAAGAGUGAUCUGAUCGAACAGAUCCUCUAGUGCACUUACAUAGCGCACCAGAUGCAACAACGCAGGAUCCGUCUCGUGAUCUCCGUUGGCAACCUGGGGUGGCCUACCAUACCCGUCACGGCUGGGGUAGUAGUAGAACGAGCGGCAGUUAACUCUGGGCGACAAGUGCCGGAGUUGAACUACAGCCUCUCGAGCAGCUAGUUGGAUGGCUUGUGGCUCAAAGGAAGUUGUCCUUCCGGUGAACCUGUAGGGGCGUUCUGGCGAUAGACCCCUACCAUAGACGUGCACGGUGGCCCAGAAUUGACGGCUCUCACCACCCAUGGGUCCUAGGUACACAAUGCAUUAUGGGGGUUCUUCUAAUGCAAAGGCACAUCGGGUGAGGUUCGCAAGCACGGUCACAAAACCUCCAAGGUUGGUUCCUGUGGUCUCGUUGUGCACUACGGGGCCAGGCAUUAUGGCUUGGUUUGGAACGAGGCUGUGCUGUGUUGGGUUGAGGCUAGCGUAUCCUUUUUAUAGGAAAAUGGGAUGGAGUCUUCCUUGCCAGGUUAGGCUGAUAGAUUGGGCACCGACUGCCAAAAGUGUUGGGGUCACUAUGUGGCUAUCUUGCACGAGAAGCUUGGCCGGGUUUAGGUUAUGGUCUGGUGGAUUGGUUAACCUAGGUUUAUUGACCUGGCUGAGAUAGGAUUAGCCAAUGGUCAGCCUGGCUCUGAUACCAAGUUUGUCACGACCGGUUUUCCGGGUAUUAAUUUCCCAGAAAAUGGCCUUUAUGCUCACCAGCCCUAGGAUUACUGUUAGCUGAUGAGGCACCAACUUGUUACAAAAACUCCAAGCAAAAAUACAUAAUAUGUAGUACAAGACCAUUCUGGCCUAUGAGUACAACAUAAGGUUGCUAGUGGUUGAUGGUGGAAGCAGUUUGUGGAUCAUCAGCGUUAUGGGACUCCAUUGCCCACAGGAACAGCUGACCAGGUUAACUCCUAUCUUCGCGAGGCUGCUAUCAUCGUUGCUUAGGUUCCGGGGCUGUCAUCACAAUGCUCCUCUCUAUGCAAGAAAUCUGGCCAAGACAAUAGCCAGGGACAAGCCAGUGAGUACUUUGAAUGUACUCGCAAACAUUAUGAACACGGGUAUAAUAUAACAAAUCAUGCUCUAAUAUAUUCUAUGAUCACAACAUCAGUCAUAAAAUGGAAUCCCUAAUGCAUGCAAGUAGGUUAUUUAUAUGCAACAUGAAUAUGUAAUAGCAGAGUAGUAAUAAAAUGCACAGGUCGGGUGUCUGAAGCGACGCCUCGAAAGGAUAGUAAAUAACGAGCGUGCCUCAGUCGGGCGUCUGAGCAACACCACAUAAAGGGCUUAUAAAGUAAAUAAAUAACAGCAUGCAACUGUCGGGCGUCUGAGCGACACCACAUAAAGGGCUUAUAAAGUAAAUAAAUAACAGCAUGCCACAGUCGGGCGUCUGAGCGACACCACAUAAAGGGCUUAUAAAGUAAAUAAAUAACAGCAUGCCACAGUCGGGCGUCUGAGCGACACCACAUAAAGGGCUUAUAAGAAAACAAUCAUAGUGAAUAUCCAGGAGGUAAAACCGUCCCAGGGAUACUCAAUACUUCAAAUAAUAUAAAGGGGUUAGUCCAUAAUAAUAAUAAUCAUAAUCAUCAUAAGUCACAAGUCACGAUCCAUGUUCUGGUUUAGCAGUUUUCUCCUCCGAAGACCGACACUAAGACCGACACUUGACCCAACCCAGACUGUAGUCCUUAACCAUGGACACGGCUAUUUGAAUAGAUGUUAAAUCCCUCCAGAGGGUGUACUCUUUACCCACGAGUAACGGAUUCCUUUAGUCCAUUGGGAAUAAUUCCGUCUACGGUAUUUUAAUUGAAAACACACCUGACUUGCACACACCAGCUUAACUUACAGUUGUCUAGAAUCACCCACGACACCUGUCAAGCAAAACUCUAAGUGGGGAGGCUACAACCUCGCGUAGCAUGGGAUCAAAUUUAUAUAGCACGCUCUAAGGGGUGGCCUCCCCUCUCGGUACCAACCGGAAACACCCAUGCCCCUGACCGGAUGACUGGCUUUAAUCCAUGUCCAUGGUACCCUCAUCCCGGCCCCUCUGUACGGUGUGUGCUAGAAAGGGGUUGACAACUUACUGAACCGUACCCUGCCUGUGGCAGGGACAAGUGGUAGUACAAAACAAGUGUGGGGGUUACCAGAAAAAGACUCGAUCUAUGGUCGACUCAGGAGGUUUAAGUAUUCCCUGCAUGAUUAGCAUAACGAAUAUAUUUCACCCAACAGACAGAAUCACCAUUCAUCAUACCCCAUCAUGCCAUACCGGGCACAAUCGUCUCGACGAGGAACUAGGGACAAGCUCAGGUCUACCCAAGACAGAGACUUUCCCGGCUUCCUUCCGAUGGGUAGGAAAAGCAUCUGAGGAUUAUUACUGUCACAAGCAUGACCAUUUCCAACAGCAAGGAAAUCUCCAAUAUGCAUGAGAUCAUUAAUAUGCACUCAUGAGUUUGAACAUAUCAUCACAUAAAAUAACGGACACUCCGUGUCGAGGUGGUAUUGUAACCGCGUCAGACAACACACACAAAAUUAUGCCCGAGUUCAGAAUGUAUGCAAGAGGGGUGCAUAUAUGAAAAUUGCCUUCUUCUUCAAAGACCUAUUUUUGAAAUUAUUCAAAUUGACACUUUGAUUCAAAAUAGUGCAAAAAAUUUGUCUGAAUUGUUUUCAAAUAAAUCUUAAAAUAAACUAGAUUAAAUUUGAGAGAGGUGGGAAAAAGAAUCAACUCAUUUGGAGUUUUAUUUAAAAAGAUAUAGUCAGUUAAAGUUUAGUCAAAUUUCUUUUUUUAAAUAAAACGGAAAAAAAAGAAAACGUUUCGAGCGUGUACAUGUCGAACACGUACUCUGGAAAUAUGCUUCCACUUACGCCGCCGUGGACCGGCGCUGGGUCACUAACAGUGGGCCCACCUGGCCCACUUGUCAGGUUUGACUAGUCCACGCGCGUGUCGUCACCUCCGACCGAACAGAAGCGGAGCUCUGGCGAGGCUCGCCGGCAAACGGAGGCCUCCCUUGGGGAUAUGAGGAUAUGGGUGUGCUCAGGAGGUCGAGGCGAACCCGUGGGUACCCACCAUGGUCGCCGACGUGGACGGAGUCGCCGGCGACGAGCUCCGCGGUGGAGAAGGCUUCGGGUGGAAUUGGGGUUCCGCGCUAUGGUGGCUCUCGGUCAAGGCUGAAGGUCUGGGCGGCUCCGCAAGAUCAUGUGGAGUCUGGUGGUGGCGUUGGACGGACGAGAGGGGCUCUGGUUGCGGUGAACGGGGCUGGGACGUGGCAGCGGCCGAACCGGCCGGAGUCGGGGAAGACGGCUUCCCCCCGACGAUUGCUGACUGUGGGGGUGCCAUGGGGGUGGCCUGAAGUCAUUUGAGUGCUCAGAUGAGCUCGGGGGCCUCCUUUUAUAGCGCGAAGAGGUCGGUUCCGCGGCGGUGGAUAAGGAUGCCGGCGACCGCAGUUCUGUAGCUUGCAGGGCACCGUGUCGGGGUUAGGGAUGGCGGUGGGAGCUAGCGGACAAGCGGGCACUGCUUCAGGGGCGAGCUGGCGAGCGGGAGUGGCUCGGGCGGUGCCGACCAGUGCAGAGGCUGUCGGGCGGUAGUGGCGGCUAGCUUCUGGCUUACCGGAGACGUGGCGAGGGGUUGUGGUGCUCGUGAGGGGGUACAGGUCGAGGCUUGGCCGUACGCUGCGAGCGGCAGAGGGUUUGGAUAAGCUCGGGGAACAGGCCAGGGGCGCGGCGGCUCGGGCGCGGCACGUGCAAAACGCGCGCUCUGGGAUGAUUAGGGAUGGAGUAGAAAACACCCAACUGGGCCAGAAUGAAAAGGAGGUUCUUUCACUCAAUUUUUACAAAGAACAAUCAUUGGUUUUUGCAUAAAAAUGAAUUACAAGCACCUAUGACAUCUCCAAAUUUUUAUACAAUUUUUAAAGAAAUAUUUAAAUAGGUUGUAGUGCAAAAUUGCCGACUGGACCAGAUUUUAAAACUUGAUGUAGGGCUCAAAAUAUCCAGAGAAUGAAAUAUAUUUUUGCAUAAAAGUGAUCUAAAAACAUCACAUGAUAUCUCCAAAUUUUGGUGGGAUUUUUAAAUAAAUUUAUCAAAGGGUUGUAGUGCAAAAGAGGCCCUGAAACUUAUAAAAAUCAUUUUUAAUGAAAAAAAAGGCUCAGGGAAAAAUAAUUAUGCAAAUAAUCCCACUGAUAAAAGAAAUUUUUUUCUUGAGAGGGAAAAUAAGUCCAACUAUGAUUGAAAAGUUUUCACUUGGGGUAAAAACUCCAUAAUAAUAAAGCAAAGAAUGGUUCUGAAAUCAAAAGGAAAUCCAGAAAAUAAAAGUUUAUGUUUCCUGGCAAAAUUUUAAUUAAUAAAUCAAGAUUAAAUUUUUUGGGGUGUCACAGUUUUCUGUUAGAUUUUUGAGGAUUUUGAAAAUGUUUAACGGGGUUCCCCCCGUUAAGAUCGGAUGUAUUUUUAACGGGGUUCCCCCCGUUAAGAUCGGAUUGGUAAUAUAUUCAAAAAGGAAGGUGGUAUUUUUAACGCCUCAUAUAUAGAUCACUUAAUAACACCAUGUACAAAACUCAAGGUGUAAUGUUGAAUUAUGUUCUAUAGAGAUUUAUUGUGAAUAGUCAUGCUAAUACACCCCAUGAUAUGGCAUUGUUAUUAUUUUUAGCAAAUCUGCACUGAUAUUUGCUUAGCUAGUUAACAUCACAGUUUCCUUUAUUGGAGCCUUGGAGUAGUCUAUGCACAUUGGACACCUGCACAAUUUGCCAACAAUAUGAGCCUCCAAAUUGCAUUCCUUGUUCUCAGGGCACAUAAGGAUUCGGUGGCAAUCUUCCUGACAACCACCAAACUUCUUUAGGUAUUUAAACGUCCACCUUCGGUUUGUAUUCGCAUCUGCGAAAUACUACCAACAAGAAGAAAUCCAAAUCAUGAAAAGAACAGUUUUGUUGAUUGGGUUGAUGCAACACUCUUGGAGGAACCGAUUAAACGUACUUGAUGCUAGCACGAGAAAGGCGAGUGUCAGGAGUAGCAUCAAAGCUGCAAUCUUCAUCCUAACUUGUAUGUGGCGUUGGUAGGAAAGUGACUGCUUGUGAGCCUUGAGGAAGAGAAAAUGAUAUGGCAACCAUUUUUAUAGUAGGUUUGAUAUUAAUGCUCAUUAUUGUAAUACAAAAAUAGCAUGAAAAGAAAGAUUGGAUAAGUUAUGUCGUAUUAAGAGCAAUUAAGUGGACUUCAGGAUAAGAUAUGUACAGACGCUUUAUAGUAGAGCAAGGAAACAAAAUUAAGAGAUUGCACAUUUGAGCAGACGUUUUCACACGAAAAAGAUAGAUAAAAGAAAAACAUCUAUCUAUGCAGUUACUAAACUCCCUUGAAAUAAGGUGAAUCCAGGGUGUGAAAAGUGCAUGGGCCCUGGGUGAGGCGUGGUGGUGGGAAGCUAGGUCCCUUGCGUGUCCAGUUUGCUUGUGUACAUGCGCAGUUUGUUUGCUGGUCCCUUGCAUGUUGGUUCAUCUAGUAAAGAAAGAAAAAGGCCGUUACCACACCCAGCUAAUAAAAGAAUCUCAAUGAGCAAAACUCAUUGAACAAAGAAAAUGUUAGGAAUAAAUUAGGAUGUGUAUAUUAUAUUAAUAACUAAAAUGUAUUAAUUAACGAAUCAUCAUUCUUAUGACCAAUCCAAAGUAGUGAUGUCCCUUUUUCUUUUAACAUUUAUAAUUGCCAUUUCUUGGAGGCAGCUUCUCCCUAUGUAUAGAUACCUUUUCUAUCAAUGGAAUUAGAGAGGGUAGCUCUCUCUCUCCCUCCCCUCACUAUUUUACUUGCAUUUUUCAUAUAUAUGUUCUUUUACUUUUAUUCAAAUUUACCUCCGUGGUCAAACUUCCCGAAAGGUCACCCAUCCUCCCACUACUCCAGCGCAAGCACACUUAACUUCAGAGUUCUAUCCAACCCCAGCACCAGCUCACUUCACAGGCACUUGUUGAUAUAUCUAGCAUAUCAAUCCUAUUAAACCUUGUUGAUGUUUAGGACUUUGUUCAUUUUCAUGAGUAUGAUGAAAUUUUGAACAAUUAUUUCAAACUUCCGUUCAUAUUACGUAUCAUAUUUUCAAAAAUAAAACCCGAAAAAGAAUUGAAACUAAUUUUUUUUGGUUACUAGUGGCGCACCUAGCAAACGGUGCGCCACUAGUAAGUUAGAAAUUUUUUGAAAUUUUUUGCCUCUAGAUCACUUAAUAACACCAUGUACAAAACACAAGGUGUAACGUUGAAUUAGGUUCUAUAAAGAUUUAUUGUGAAUAGUCAUGCUAAUACACCCCAUGAUAUGGCAUUGUUAUUAUUUUUAGCAAAUCCGCACUGAUAUUUGCUUAGCUAGUUAACAUCACAGUUUCCUUUAUUAGAGCCUUGGAGUAGUCUAUGCACAUUGUACACCUGCACAAUUUGCCAAAAAUAUGAGCCUCCAAAUUGCAUUCCUUGUUCUCAGGGCACAUAAGGAUUCGGUGGCAAUCUUCCUGACAACCACCAAACUUCUUUAGGUAUUUAAACGUACACCUUCGGUUUGUAUUCGCAUCUUCAAAAUAUUAACAAUAAGAAGAAAUCCAAAUAAAGAAAAGAACAGUUUUGUUGAUUGGGUUGAUUCAACACUCUUGGAGGAACCGAUUAAACGUGCUUGAUGCUAGCACGAGAAAGGCGAGUGUCAGGAGUAGCGUCAAAGCUGCAAUCUUCAUCCUAACUUGUAUGUGCCGUUGGUAGGAAAGUGACUGCUUGUGAGCGUUGAGGAAAAGAAAAUGAUAUGGCAACCAUUUUUAUAGUAGGUUUGAUACUAAUUCUCAUUAUUGUAAUACAAAAAUAGCAUUAAAAGAAAGAUUGGAUAAGUUAUGUCGUAUUAAAAGCAAUUAAGAGGACUUCAGGAUAAGAUAUGUACAGACGCUUUGUAGCAGAGCAAAGAAACGAAAUUAAGAGAUUGCACAUUUGAGCAGACAUUUUCACAUGAAUAAGAUAGAUAAAAGAAAAACAUCUAUCUAUACAGUUACUAAGCUCCCUUGAAAUAAGGUCUCCUAGUGAAUCCAGGGUUUGAAAAGUGCAUGGGCCCUGGGUGAUAGUGGGUGAGGCGCGUUGGUUGGAAGCUCGGCCCCUUGCGUGUCCAGUUUUCUUGUGUACAUGCGCAGUUCGCUUGCUGGUCCCUUGCAUGUUGGUUCAUCUAGCAAAGAAAGAAAAAGGCCGUUACCACACCCAGCUAAUAAAAGAAUCUCAAUGAGCAACAAUGAUUGAACAAAGAAAAUGUCAGGAAUAAAUUAGGAUGUGUCUAUUAUAUUAAUAACUAAAAUGUAUUAAUUAAUGAAUCAUCAUUCUUGUGACCAAUCCAAAGUAGUGAUGUCCCUUUUUCUUUUAACAUUUAUAGCUGCCAUCUCUUGGAGGCAGCUUCUCCCUAUGUAUAGAUACCUUUUCUAUCAAUGGAAUUAGAGAGGGUGGCUCUCUCUCUCUCCCUCCCCUCACUAUUCUACUUGCAUUUUUCAGAUAUAUGAUCUUUUACUUUUAUUCAAAUUUACCUCCGUGGUCAAACUUCCUGAAAGGUCACCCAUCCUCACACUACUCCAGCCCAAGCACGCUUAACAUCAGAGUUCUAUCCAACCCCAGCACCAGCUCACUUCAGAGGCACUUGUUGAUAUAUCUAGCAUAUCAAUCCAAUUAAACCUUGUUGAUGUUUAGGAUUUUGUUCAAGUUCAUGAGUGUGAUGAAAUUUUGAAAAAUUAUUUCAAACUUCCGUUCAUAUUACGUAUCAUAUUUCAAACGGUGCACCACUAGUAAGUUUGAUAUUUUUUGAAUUUUUUUGCCUCUAGAUCUUGAAAGCCCUGUAACUUUUUUUCUGUUAGGUUUUUGAGGAUUUUGAAAAUGUUUAACGGGGUUGCCCCCAUUAAGAUCGGAUGUAUUUUUAACGGGGUUCCCCCGUUAACAUCGGAUUGGUAAUAUAUUCAAAAAGGAAGGUGGUAUUUUUAACACCUCAUAUAUAGAUCACUUAAUAACACCAUGUACAAAACUCAAGGUGUAACGUUGAAUUAUGUUCUAUAGAGAUUUAUUGUGAAUAGUCAUGCUAAUACACCCCAUGAUAUGGCAUUGUUAUUAUUUUUACCAAAUCUGCACUGAUAUUUGCUUAGCUAGUUAACAUCACAGUUUCCUUUAUUGGAGCCUUGGAGUAGUCUAUGCACAUUGUACACCUGCACAAUUUGCCAACAAUAUGAGCCUCCCAAUUGCAUUCCUUGUUCUCAGGGCACAUAAGGAUUCGGUGGCAAUCUUCCUGACAACCACCAAACUUCUUUAGGUAUUUAAACGUACACCUUCGUUUUGUAUUCGCAUCUACAAAAUAUUACCAAUAAGAAGCAAUCCAAAUCAUGAAAAGAACAGUUUUGUUGAUUGGGUUGAUGCAACACUCUUGGAGGAACUGAUUAAACGUACUUAAUGCUAGCACGAGAAAGGCGAGUGUCAGGAGUAGCGUCAAAGCUGCAAUCUCCAUCCUAACUUGUAUGUGCCGUUGGUAGGAAAGUGACUGCUUGUGAGCCUUGAGGAAGAGAAAAUGAUAUGGCAACCAUUUUUAUAGUAGGUUUGAUAUUAAUGCUCAUUAUUGUAAUACGAAAAUAGCAUGAAAAGAAAGAUUGGAUAAGUUAUGUCGUAUUAAAAGCAAUUAAGUGGACUUCAGGAUAAGAUAUGUACAGACGCUUUGUAGCAGAGCAAAGAGACGAAAUUAAGAGAUUGCACAUUUGAGCAGACGUUUUCACAUGAAAAAGAUAGACAAAAGAAAAACAUCUAUCUAUACAGUUACUAAACUCCCUUGAAAUAAGGUCUCCUAGUGAAUCCAGGGUGUGAAAAGUGCAUGUGCCCUGGGUGACAGUGGGUGAGGCGUGGUGGUGGGAAGCUCGGUCCCUUGCGUGUCCAGUUUUCUUGUGUACAUGCGAAGUUCGCUUGCUGGUCCCUUGCAUGUUGCUUCAUCUAGCAAAGAAAGAAAAAGGUCGUUACCACACCCAGCUAAUAAAAGAAUCUCAAAGAGCAAAACUGAUUGAACAAAGAAAAUGUCAGGAAUAAAUUAGGAUGUGUCUAUUAUAUUCAUAACUAAAAUGUAUUAAUUAAUGAAUCAUCAUUCCUGUGACCAAUCCAAAGUAGUGAUGUCCCUUUUUCUUUUAACAUUUAUAACUGUCAUCUCUUGGAGGCAGCUUCUCCCUAUGUAUAGAUACCUUUUCUAUCAAUGGAAUUAGAGAGGGUAGCUCUCUCUCUCUCCCUCCCCUGACUAUUCUACUUGCAUUUUUCAGAUAUAUGAUCUUUUACUUUUAUUCAAAUUUACCUCCAUGGUCAAACUUCCCGAAAGGCCACCCAUCCUCACACUACUCCAGCCCAAGCACGCUUAACAUCAGAGUUCUAUCCAACCCCAGCACCAGCUCACUUCAGAGGCACUUGUUGAUAUAUCUAGCAUAUCAAUCCAAUUAAACCGUGUUGAUGUUUAGGACUUUGUUCAUGUUCAUGAGUGUGAUGAAAUUUUGAAAAAUUAUUUCAAACUUCCGUUCAUAUUACGUAUCAUAUUUCAAACAGUGCACCACUAGUAAGUUUGAUAUUUUUUGAAUUUUUUUGCCUCUAGAUCUUGAAAGCCCUGUAACUUUUUUUCUGUUAGGUUUUUCAGGAUUUUGAAAAUGUUUAACGGGGUUCCCCCCAGUAAGAUCGGAUGUAUUUUUAACGGGGUUCCCCCGUUAAGAUCGGAUUGGUAAUAUAUUCAAAAAGGAAGGUGGUAUUUUUAACACCUCAUAUAUAGAUCACUUAAUAACACCAUGUACAAAACUCAAGGUGUAACGUUGAAUUAUGUUCUAUAGAGAUUUAUUGUGAAUAGUCAUGCUAAUACACCCCAUGAUAUGGCAUUGUUAUUAUUUUUAGCAAAUCUGCACUGAUAUUUGCUUAGCUAGUUAACAUCACAGUUUCCUUUAUUGGAGCCUUGGAGUAGUCUAUGCACAUUGUACACCUGCACAAUUUGCCAACAAUAUGAGCCUCCCAAUUGCAUUCCUUGUUCUCAGGGCACAUAAGGAUUCAGUGGCAAUCUUCCUGACAACCACCAAACUUCUUUAGGUAUUUAAACGUACACCUUCGGUUUGUAUUCGCAUCUGCAAAAUAUUACCAAUAAGAAGAAAUCCAAAUCAAGAAAAGAACAGUUUUGUUGAUUGGGUUGAUGCAACACUCUUGGAGGAACCGAUUAAACGUACUUGAUGCUAGCACGAGAAAGGCGAGUGUCAGGAGUAGCGUCAAAGCUGCAAUCUUCA